UUUUUUUUUUUUCGUUUUUCACCGGUUAUCUUCUUCCUUGGGAGGAAGGAGGAGCUUGCGCCCACACAUGGGGCAGUGGCCUGGCCGGCGGCGUGCGUGAUGGGGUCUGCGGCGGGGAAGCGGUCUCUGACCAUGCAGGGGACUCGACGAUGUUGUGAGGCAGUGAAUCUCCAAUAGACAAUCCAUUCUGGCUGGACGCCAUUAUCUGCAUAUAAUAGCUGGUCGAGGAACGGUAAACAAGGGGAAAGAUAAAUAAAUCAGAACACUGGAACGAAUUGCUCUGUACUUCUGAUUGGAGAGGAGAAAGAGCAGCUCUGCGGCAAGGGGCCAGCGGCGCAGGACGGCUGGCGGACAGCGGCGCGCGACGAGACCGGCCGCCGCUGCUCCCGCAGACCGCCGCGCUUCCAUCCGCCGCCGGAGCUUCCAUCACCCGCGCCGGCCCUGCUCGGGCGGCAGUGCCUGCGAGGGGACGGCGGCCCUGCUCGGCUUCCCCGCUGUCAUAGAUUGAUAUUUGAGAGUGUACUCCAACAAAAUCAACCAGAGCCCUACCAACUACAUGGAAUUGGGCUGCUCCACAAAUUCGUAGAAUUAGGGUGUUUAGUUUGGAGUUGGAGUAAGGACAUGAAACUUCCAAAAAUUUGUACUCUAUUUUAAAAUGAGUUAUGUUAUUGAAUUUUAAAGAACCCAGGGUGAUCUUUGUGUUUAUCCUUCUAAAACCAUCGCAUCUCCUUAGUUUAUUACUGGGGUGGAAAUCAUUCUAACAGGAACGCUUGUUGCACGUUAGUACUCCAUUCAUUUCAAAUGGUACUGAGAUAUAUAUUAUGACUAAAAAUUGUAUACGAAAAGUCAAAAUCCGCUUAUAAUUUGGAAUUUUUUCAUACAUUUAUUUGUUGCACGUUACUAGGCCCGUUUUUUUUCUGUCCGAGGGCCGAGCAAGUCAAUAGGGCUGAAGGCCCACGACCACAUUCCAGAAUCCGAGCCCAACAGAAAUCGUGUCGGACUCGGACCGUUUCAACUCCCGAGCCCAAAUACGAACGCCCCUCGCCCAACGCUAUCUCCCAUGAUCCCAUCUCGUCGACGAGUCCGUCCUCUCUGACCCCACCACCACACACAUGGCCGCGCCCGCCGGCGGCGACUCCCGGCCCCUCCCGCCGUCGCCGUCUUCCAAGGGCAAGGCCAAGAUGGACGACGAGGCGGAGGCGGAGGGCUCGGGGAAGAUGUGCGGCAUCUGCUACGUCGACGGCCGGCAGGCCAUCCGCGGCGAGCUCGACUGCUGCGCCCACUACUUCUGCUUCGUCUGCAUCAUGGCCUGGGGCCGCGUCGAGUCCCGCUGCCCCUUCUGCAAGGCCCGCUUCCGCACCAUCCGCCGCCCGCCCGUCCCCGGCCGGUUCCCCGACGAGCGCAUCGUCACCGUCCCCGAGCGCAACCAGGUAACCAUUUAGUACCCUAAAUCUAAUCUAAUCUAAUCUCGCGAGUUUUUUUUGGAUCUCGUAUAGCUGUGCAGUAGAAAUUUCAUGUCCAGGACUGCAAAUUCCGGCAAAUUUUUCAUUGGUUAUGCCGUACCGCGUGCUAUUCCGCCCCUGUCAAUUUGCCAUGCCAGGACGCCAUGAAUUCUCCGCGGGACAACGCUGACGUGUUGUGCUGGUUGGUGCAGGUAUACCAUCCGCAGGGCAACGGGAGCAGCACGGUGGGCGUGGAUCCUUACGCGGAAACCAUCUGCACCGUGUGCAACGGCUCCAGGGACGACGAGCUGCUGCUGCUCUGCGAGCUCUGCGACGCGGCCGCGCACACCUACUGCGCCGGGCUGGGGACCACUGUGCCGGAGGGGGACUGGUUCUGCAAGGACUGCGCGACGGUCAGGGAGGAGCAGUUGAGGUGGCUGGCUGAGAAUGAGGGCCGGGGAGCUCAGGAUGAAUUUGAGGUCAGCAUCGAUGUUCUGAGAGCGGAGCCAGUUGCUGCCCCUUCUGUUCGUGAUGUUGUGGAUGAGUUGGAGUGUGAUCCAGACAGGGCUGGUGUGGGAAACGGUAGGCUUUCCAUGGAUGACCAGGUUCCUUCCAUUUAUGACAUUGUGGAUGAUGAUUUUCCUACCGUUGGGGGGAUCGGUAGGAGGCCUGGAAAGAACACUGAAGAUCUUCCAUCACAGGGUGCUUCAUCAGCUGGAUCUCAGCAUCCUGGAUUGACCAAGGGACGAGAUAAUGGUCUUGGGGCGUAUCAUGCUUGCAUCCGCCUUGAAGUUGAGAGAGCUAGAACACUACGCAACUCCCGCAAUCUUGAUAAGCGCAUAAGGGAGCUGCGGGAGAACUGGGCUGCCCUGCGUGAUGGUUCUGUGGGGUUUGCUCCACGUGUGCCUAAUGGAAGAGGGAAAGAUACUGGUUCCACUUCUGCUGCUACCGAUCAUCAGCGUCACCGUCAAACGACGCCUGCAACUGCCAGCUACAGAAAUGGUGCUCCUGCUACUUCUGCUCAGCAGCCAAGACCUUCCCCUGAGGAAACUAGUACCUCACUAGGACACAGUAAAAAAGUCUCGCACAAGGACGCUCGUGAUGCCCAUAAGGCAUGGAAAAGGUUGGAGAUCGCAAAAACUUCUGGUGGGAGGAAGAUAUCUAGCAAACCUGCCUCCCUUAGCUGCAGCACCCCAUUUUCCAUGGGGAACAGAUCAACUUCUUACAGUCCUAUUGAUUCAGUUUUGGGACAAAAGAAUGGUAACCUGCCUAAUAAGGUGUCUCAACACAAUAGAGCAAACUGUGGUCAGGGUACAGAAAUGGAAAGUACACCACCCACAGAAUACACAGCAGAACGCCGUAGCUUGCCUGAGGACAGACAUGCAUGGGUUCAUGAAAGGACAAUUUCUUUUUGGAAUCGAAUAAAUGAGGAAAGUCUAAAUGGUAAAGUUGACUCAUCAACUCAAGAUCAACAUGUUGAUCAACCGUUAGCAUCUUCAUGUAGUACAGGCGGAUUAGAGAAAUCCAAAUCAGGCAUGCUGCAUCCACUGAAGUGCAGUUCAUCAUCCGGUCAGUCCCCUGUGAUAUCAUCACUACAGUUGGGGCCUAGGGCUGGGAGCCAAUCUACUAUGAUGGUAAACCCUGAGGAACCCUCAGCUGUUUGUGCUGCAACAACCAAUGAAAUAGGUAGUGCUGCAACCACUGAAGUUAGAAAAAGUUCUAGAGCAGACCGUCAUGAGCGGAAGAGGAAACACAGUUCUGAAAAAUGCAGUGAUGAAGGACCCAAAAGAUCCAGGUCAGCCUGUAAAAUUGCAAAAAGUGAGAUUUCUUCGCUGGCUGUUCGCGAGCUGAAACUACUCAAGAUAGACAAGACGCAUGGUACACAUUCUCCUUCCAAUUCUUCUGUUCCCCAGCAUAUAACUUUUCUUUUGCUGUUACAUAUUUAAUCUCAUAAACCACUGUCUGUGAUACAGGCUCUGAAACCUUCAAGGAAGUUGCUCGGACAGCAACACAUACUGUCUUGGCUUCCUGCGGAUUUGAGCAUUCGCCAUCGCAGUCCCUUGCACUCUCAAGACUGGUCUGCAAGCACAGCCCCAAAGUCAAAGCGCAGAAGUCAUCAGCGAUAAUCGAUUCUUGCAGAGAAUGCUUGCAUAGCUCUGUGAAAGAAGCCAUCAGCUUAGCGUUGUUGGGUAGGCAUAUGGAUCAAACCGGUGCCUCCUGUUAGAUUCUAGACAUUUAGUCUUGAGAUUCUCUCUUGUCUGGUCAUUGUGAAUAUCGUACAGCACAAACUAGAGACAAGUUGUACAUUUCAUAUUUUCAUAGCAUGGCAAUACCAUCCUAUAGUGUAGUUGCUAGGUCUAAUCAGUACUGUAACAACUAACAUUCUCUUUAUUUUGCCAUGACCAUGGUGGUAGUACUGGGACCAAACAUUUUCAGGCUCGUGAGGUGUGGUUGGUGCACCUGGAGCACGGAAUGGGUCUCACAUCAUGACAUGGUUGGGUUGUAAAUGUUGGCUAUUAAUGGGUGGACAAAAGUCACUAGAUGAAGAAAAACUGGAUGAAACUUGGCAUAACUACUGAUCUCAAAUGUCUUGAUGCACUAGCUUUUGAUGGUUCAACUAAAGCCUUCCACUGAUAAGGAAAGCGAUGAAAGCACACAACUACUGCUGUUGCUGAGAUUUUGUAGUCUGUCUUGAUCCAAGCAAUACCUAAAGUAUUUGAACAAGUUGUGGCCCAACUUGCAGUGUGCAUCAUAUAUAAUGUGGAGCAAACAGUCAUGUUAUAUUAAGAACAUAAAAAAAGGGGUUGGUUGCAUCAGCAGUUAACAACUCAACUAAGGUCAAGCUUUCAUAAAAAGUGUCAAUAUAACCAAUAGAACAGCAUAUGUUGCACAUCUAUUCUGAUUUAUGAAUGGCACUAAACGAUUUAAGCUAGAGGGGACAUUUGCUAUUGCAACUGUCAAAAGGUGCUUUCACCUCCAAGCAAUUGUUGAGUCUGCCUAGAAGUUGCUUGGACAUCUGUAACCCUGGCCAUCCUACACUUGAAUUUUGAGCUGUCCUCCUCGCGAGGUUUGCCUACCACCGUCCACAGCCAUGUCCUUCCGACACCGGCGAGCCACCUUGUCGAGCCCCUGCCCCAUCCUACGUACAUCUUUUUUUUCCCCAACUUUGGUGAGCAUCUCCUAACGUUUUUGACCUAUCCCAUAUCUGAAAAACUAUUUUCAAAAAAAGAAGGUUAAAACACAAGAGUGUCAUAUAGCCCUUUUCAUCCAGGUAAUAACAACUUGUACGACCUCGACUUCUGUUACCAAGGGCAAGAUAUGGGAACAAAUUAAAAAAUAAAAGUUCCACGGCAAUAUGGACUGAUUCAGGUAAAACUAAGUACGGCCGCAUAAGGUCAACCAGAUAAGACGGCAUGGAAACGCCAGAUUAUGUUAUAGUAAAAUGUUGUUGUAGGCAGUCGCCAAAUAACAGGCGUUACGUUCAACACGAAAGAGUACAGGACGGAACGCCGUCCGUGCGGAUCGUAUUUUUUUCUCUCCUGUUCCAUGAAGAAAAAAUAGAAUAUUGUAUUUUUAACAGCUGCGAAAUGCCAAAUCAGCAGAUCCAAAGGAGUCCAAAUGGGACGCGUCCAAAUCAAUGUCUCGGCGGUAGCAACUAGGAAGCUCCAACACUAGCUACGCGGCCUGGGACUGUGCUAUACUACUACUGGUGUGAUCUGGUGUGACUGUACACCGCGUGGCUUUAUUACUCGUAGAAGAAGAAGCCUUUCUUCGAUCUGCCGCCGCCGCUGAGAUGGUAUGGGAAUACAGACAUACGGUACAGAGUGUAUGUACUGGAUGGGGUAGCGAUUUCACGGUUUACGAUGACGGGUACUGGAGUACAAACCGUAGAAGCAUCAAAUACCGUCAGAGUAUAAAUGGAGGCAUGUACGAUGGAGCUAUCAUUGCCAUUUCGCUGAAAGGGAAAAGGAGGCACCUAAACUUUGCUAAUGGAUUAAGCACACUGAACAAAUUAAAGGGGCAGAGCAAAGGAAAGGAAAAGAAAGAAAGGAAGGAAAUAAAAGAAAAUCUAGAUCUCUCGAGUCAGUCAACAUACUGCACAAAAUGCUUCACGUACCAAGAUCAUAGUAUGUAUGAACCUUCAACACCCCACCCUAUUCGCGUGCAACACAUCGUUUAGCCUGCUGCGAGUCCCAAUUUGAUGAACCCUCCAUUCUUGAAUAUACGGACAUUUAGAAUAAGAGAAAUAGUUUAUUCUAGAAUAAUUUUGUUUGUCCUAAACGUGAUAUAUCUAAGGAAGGAAUGUAAUAUUCACCGUUCCAAGAAUCAACUUCUCAACAUGAGUCAGUGCGAAUCAUUGUGUGCUUUGUCUGAUGUCUAGUUUCAUUUUUCAUUACAUCCACACUUGUUUGCAAGCCGUUCAAACCGCUUCACAUUUCGAGCAAAUAACCUUAGCCUCAAUCUACGUCUGAUGAGAAGAUUCCGAGCUGCAUUGAAUUAAUGUCAGCUAAAGGAAGUACACCUAUAGAAUCGCAAAUACACGUGAAGCAAUGAGAGGCGGCACCCAACCCUUGUUUACCUUGAUAGGGUCUUCUGCAAUGAAAGCUGGAACCUAGCUUUCAAGAACCAUUCUCUUCAUGCUUUAUCAUCAUCGCACUCCGACCAUUGCCCACUCUUGUUAGCACAUCAGAAGGACUUGCGCAAGCCUACACCUUUCAAGUUCGAAAAUAUCUGGACGAAAGUUCCAAACUUCCAGGAGAUUGUAGCUAGUGCCUGGUCUCAACCAACCACACAUACAGAACCUUUCCACAGGAUUGGGUACAAGCUUCACGUGACAGCAAAAGCUCUGAGGACGUAGAGCAAAUCAUUGAUCUCUGAUGCCAAAUUCAAGCUACACAUGGCCCAAGAAGUCAUCAUGCGAUUGGACAUUGCUCAAGAAAAUAGAGACCUUAAUGAGCCGAAGCACAACUUGCGGAGUAAGCUCAAAAAGCGCAUUCUUAGCUAGCCAGUAAUAGAAAAGGCUAGGAAACAACAAAGCUCAAGAGGCAUAUACUUAUGGAAAGGUGACGCCAACACCAAAUUCUUCCACCUCAAGGCGAACACAAGAAGGCGGAAGAAUUUCAUUCAACGACUGUGAAAAGGCACGGGUUGGGCUAUAUCUUGCUGGAGCAUCAUCAAACAAGACUUAGUCGCAACAAUUAACUACUUCCACACAGGGUGCUGCACAAACCUGAACCUUGUCAACAAGGCAAACAUUGUCCUACUACCCAAAAAAGACGGGGCAGACUCAAUCACAGACUUCAAGCCAAUCAGUCUCAUCCACACCUUUGCGAAAAUCAUCAACAAAAUACUUGCAUUACGUCUAGCGUCAAAAAUGCAUGCGCUCAUCUCCCCAUGUCAAAGCACCUUCAUAAAAGGCAGAAGCAUUCACGACAACUUCCUUUAUGUCAGAAACAUCACACGACGAUUCCACUGAAACGGGACACCAUCGCUUCUAAUGAAGCUUGACAUUUCCAAAGCUUUCGACUCAGUACGUUGGGAUUACCUGCUCUCAUUGAUGCAACAUAGAGGUUUCCCACAGCGCUGGAGAAACUGGAUUGCCGCAACUCUAACCAUCUCCACAUCCAGAAUAAUGAUCAACGGAAUUCCAACCGACCCAAUCUAGCAUGGACGUGGACUACGAUAGGGGGAUCCUCUAUCCCCACUACUCUUCAUUCUCGCCUUUGACCCACUGCACCAGCUACUCUCCCAAGCCACGAACCUAAAGCUGCUGCAAAAGUUAGGGGGAAGAGUGGCGCUGUGGCGGAACCACCUCGGAUUAGCUUGAUUAAGCAGGGUUAAGCCGCCUAACAUGCGACACUCCUGCCUAAACCGAGCUAACACGAAGUGCCGUCGGAUUUCAUCCGAUUUAACCACUUAAACAGGAUCGAGUUAAGCAAACCCACACGAAGGUGAGCGGUUACAGAGAAUACAACAAGUCCACUGAGUUAAACGAGUUUUUACCCAUUUAGUUCGGCCAUAAAAUCCAACCUCGGAGGUUUACAAGGUUUCAAGAAAACAAUGGAGAAACACUAGCGGAAGACUUCGUCGGGGUCGGAUGUCCGGGUGAGGCCAGCCAGAACAUCACUGAGUCCUCUCCUCGCCGUCCGAGGAGGGGUCCCACUCGACCGUCCAGCCUGGCGGGAGCUGGGGCGGCCAAGCACCAACCAGAGAGGGGUCGGACGCAGCAACUUCACCUGAAAAAUAGGAGCCACAACAAGGCUGAGCUACUAAGCUCAACAAGACUUAACCGAUAGGAGUAAGGGCUACUCCUCCUUCUAGACAUGCAAGGCUUCUUGGCUGAGGGGUUUGGUUGCCAAAAGCACUAAGUAACCCUAUUUCAGUUUUAGCUCCGGUUCUAUGUUCAUUUACCAGUCUAGGUUGUGCAACCUAUUCUAAGCAUUCAUAGAACCAAACAAGAUGUGAAGAUAUAACAAGAAACAUUGCCAUCAUCAGAUUCCUCAUUUACUCAGGGUGACAUAGCGAUCAAGCAAUCUCAAACUGUGAGAGGCAGACGAAUCGAUUCGAGUUCUUUAACCAUGCAUGGUGAACCUAGCCUCACGACAUCCGCGCACCCGGGGGUCGCUUCCUGUGUCGGCCUUCCCCAUCAAUCCUCUAACCCGUGUCGGGCCCAUUUCCUUUGGUGCAAGGUUCCACAGACCCGGCCUCUGCCGUUCUGUGACCACACAUUGCCACCACGUGCGACAACCAGCAGGGGAAACUCCGUUCUAAGAACAAUGGGGCGACCGCUCACGUCUAGGUUCAAUCCGGUACUAGGCUUCCUCAUCCCAUACUAAGUAUGAGGCUAGUACUUUCAAACACUUGAUCACGAACACCACCACUGUCGAGCCUUAGCAAGAUUUCAUAGACAAACGGGGCGACCAUCCGACCACCAAAGAGUUACCCAAAACCCUGCCCCGUCCAUCGUCCUUAUAGUUAUAACAGGAGAGUAAACAUGCAACUCCUAUAACUCGCGAGUGACAGGAAAUCACUCGACUUUUACCGUUUUCCUAGUUAAGCAAUGCAGCUACUCGGUCCAAUAGCUAGUGCUCAGAUCAUGGGUCACUGAGUCAUGCAUCUAGGGUUUCACACAACUCCUAUACGUAAAUGCACAAGCAUGUUACAGAAGGCAUGCGCAAGUCUGGUAAAACACAUAGGAUUUUCAUGCAACCGGGGCUUGCCUUCAAGCAAGGAGGACGGGAACUGCUCGACUUCUGGGGCGACUUCGGCUUCGGAGGGCAGGAGCUCGGCUACAGCUUCUUCUUCUGGCGCCGGGUGAAGCUCGUAGAAACCGUCGGCGAGGUGCAGCUCUACACGAAUGCAAUGCAAGGGUUAGCUUAGACAAUUAUUUCAACAGCGACACGGGCUCGCCUGAGCCCAGAAACUUGCGACAACGAGCAGGAGGUUAUGGUGGUUCGAGAGAGCUGAUGAUGAUCAAGAGGUAAGGGUAGGAAGGAACUAGUGGUCUGAUCCUUGAACUAGAGGAUGUGAUAAACUAGGGGUCCUUAGACGCAAGCGCUGAAGGGUUCCCAAGUUUUACACAUACACCCUCGAGUUGAAGAAAAAGAUCACAGCCAAGCCCUCGGGCGAGGCGGAUAAGGGUCGGCGGAACAGACAGGGUCGGGCGAGACGGAAUCCGGGGUCGGGCGAAUAGGAGGGGUCGGGCGAGGCGGACUGGGGUCGGCAACUCACCUUCUUCCUGAAAGGAAAGCGUGGGGUCGGGAAGAAGCAGACUUGGGCGGAGGGACUAAAGCUUCGAGCAAGGGCUACGACUGGCAAUGCUCCGGCGGCGGCGCUGCUUCUUGCGGAUCACAAGAGAGCUCUUACGCAGCACGGAGGAGCAAGCUGCUGGGUGACUUGGAGGAAACUGAGAGAGAAUUGAGAGAAGAACUCCUCAAGAACUGGGUGGGUGGCGCUAGGAGCUUGAGUAGGGAGCUAGAGAAGGCUGAAGGCAACGAGAGCGGAGGGAACUCCGGCGACGGGGGCAUUCCUUUUAUAGCUGCUGGAGCAGAGGAAAGGAAACGGCGCGGAGAGAGAGAAGGGGAGCGGCGCGAAGGCCGGGGAGAGGCAAUGGAGUGCUCUGCCGGGGCGGCGAUUGAGCAAAGAGGGCGGUGGUGCAGAACUCCGGGGGUGACGCCAGCAAUCAUGGCGUUCUGCCGUCAGGGCGGCGUAGAAGUGGGUAGACUGGUGGUUGAGAUUUGGCGAAAAGCGGGCGUCGUCGUGCGGAAGAUGUGAUAGAAACGACCGGUUUAACGGUGCUAGAAUCGAGGGCGCACAGGUGAGAAGACAGACGGACGCGGGCGCGGGGGAGAGCGCGGAACAACAGAUUGUCGGGCGGCUUCUGACAAAGCGGGGAAAGGAACUGUCGCGGCCGUGGUCGGGGUUGGCGGUGGAGGAAUCGUCGUGUAGCGGCGACCGGGCGGCGCAACUGUGGCUGAAGGGAUGGAAAAGACGGGCGACAUCGGGCUCUGGGGCCGGGAUCUGGUGGCGUGAUGAUGGGCGCGGGAGGUGAGGUUCUGCAGAAAGGGGUGCAGAGGGCUUCCGCUGCUAUUGGGGAAAGGGGGCGCGGGAACCCACUCGGUUGCUUGCCAGAGACAAAACUUUGCGGCAGGCGUCGGAGAAGACGAGCCACGCGGCAGGAAGACUCUGAGGCGGCCAUGCAACUCGAGUGUGGCUGUCGCGGGGGAUCUGGAAAAGAUCUCACGGGUCCACCGGUGGAUAGAUCGGACGGGUGAGGAAGAUCAGCAGAAUCCGAUGGUGGGCUGAGCUCGCUGGGGUCGGGAGAGGAGCGAAGCGGGAAGGGGUCGGAUCUCAGGGGUCGGGACCAGGCGGAUAGCUGAGCACUUAGGUGCGGUCAAGCAAAACAGCUGACUAAGGUUAAGGGCUGCGAUCAAGACUAACUGGGAAGGCUUAGGGGUCGGUCGUUACAGGCACGCUUCAGGAUAUCCAUGUAUGCAGAUGACGUGGUGAUCUUCGUCAAACCAGACUGCAAAGACAUCAACAAUAUGGAGCUCAUCCUAAAAAUUUUGGGGAAGUUACACGGCUAAAGACUAACCUGCAGAAAACAAGUGUGACGCCAAUCAGCUGCGGCGACAUAGACCUAGAGGACACACUGUCCGGCUUUUCGGUGAUACGCACCAACUUCCCCAUCAAAUACCUGAGGCUACCGCUCGCGAUGAGGAGAUUACGCAAAAUGGAGUUUCAACCUCUAGUGGAAAAGGCAACCUCCAAGGUAUCAGGCUGGUACGGGAGACACCUAACGCAGGCUGGCCGAGUCUACCUGACAAAUCCAUGCUAUCUUCAUAGCCAGUCUACCUACUAAUAGUACUCAAAGCGACCAAAGAAAUACUAGAGGAGCUUGACAAAAUAAGGAAAAAAUUCCUUUGGGUCGGCAACUAGACGCUCAAGGGAGGUAAAGGCAAAGUCAACUGAUGCAGUCUUCCCAAAGAACAUGGCGGUUUGGGAAUUCUGAACUUGGAAAGAUUCGCUAGAACCCUGAGACUACGGUAGCUAUGGCAUGAAUGGGUCUCGCGAGAAAAAGCAUGGAUAUGUACUGAAACACCAUGCGACAACACUGACCGCACUACUAGAAAUAUGACCUUUCAUCCCUAAUAUUAGUACCGAUCACAUUUGGACCCAGUACUAGAGGGGGUAUUAGUAUCGGAUCCAAAUUUGGGAUUCUGCGGAAGCCCUCUAGUACCGGUUGGAGGCUCGAACCGGUACGAGAGGGUUUCCCACCGCCAACUUUCAUUUUUUUUCCCGUCCCAGCGCUACCCCGUGCUUUAUCUCCUUAGCGCACACUUAGAAAUAUCUAGAGCACCCCCAUCCCCCACACACUUAUCUCCUCACCCUCUCUGCUCCUCUCUCUCCCCUCCUGCCUCCUGCCUCCCCUACCUCUCUCCCUCUCUCGAUCUCUCUCAGUGUAGCGCGAGGGAUCCCCGGCCAGCCCUCUUCCUGCUUUUCCUCCCCUCCCCCCUCCGCUCACCCUUCACUGGUGGUGAGGAGUGGCAGUGUGGCGAGGUGGGUGGUGACGACGGCGCAGGUGGUUAGGGCGGGCAAAGUGGCAGCGAAGGAAGUGGCAGAGGAGACAGUGGGGUGAAGGGGGCCGGCGGCGUGGAUCGAGGCGGAGGAGACCAGGUGGAGGGGGCAGGGGCCACCGACGGCGGUGGGGCCGUGGAGGUAGCGGCGGAGGAGGUCGGGGUGGAGGUGGUGGCGGUGGGGGUGUGGAGAAGGAGGAGGGGCGGGCAGGGGGGAGGGCGGUAGUGGCGACGUGGAGGAGGAGGAGGAGGGGCGGGUGGGGCCAGCGACGACGGAGGCGUGGAGGUGGCGGCGGAGGAGGCCGGGGGUGGAGGUGGUGGCGGAGGAGGCGUGGGGGUGGAGGAGGGGUGGGCGGGGCUGGCGGCGGCUGGGGGGACGGGGGUGGAGAGGCGGGGGGUGGGGGGUGGCGGGGAGGGGGUGCGGUUUUGGGGCUGGCAGCAUGGGGGCUUUUCUUUUUUAAUUUUUUUAACCCCUCUAGUACCAAUUGCUUAGUACCGGUUGUGCAACCGGUACUAGAGGGGGGUUUCUAACCGGUACAAGAGAUGGUUUUUCUAGUAGUGUUGUCUCCUCUUCACGGCUUGCACAACAACAACAAUCGGCAACGGUAAAAAGACGAGCUUCUGGCACUCAGGAUGGCUACAGGGCCGUAGGUCCAAUGAAGCGUCCUUAUAUAAGCAGAGACUAAAUGUGAUACAAAUAUCAGCCACAUGAGGCUGAUUACACAUUUAUUCAACAGAUGGUUCUAGAACCAUACAACUCUCGAGCGAGCAGGCGCGAAAGCCACGCUGAAACAAUAAGUAAAACAACAACAGUAACGACCCAAGCUAUUGUCCAGAUGAACCCCAGACAGCACUCGGGACUACACGCCAGUGAGUCCUGCAAAGUCCCAACACCACAAGCAACGUUGGGUGCGGAAACGACCACCUACUCGAUGUCCUCGACAACAAAGUCCGGGUCUUCCUCUGAAGCAACAAAACAAGGGUGAGUACAAAAGUACUCAACAAGUCCAACCACACCCAUGGAGGGGGAAUAACAAGAAUAUGCACAAGUCAUAACAAGGAUAAGGCUAAGGUUCAUUUGUAAUAAAGGUAUUUAACACAUGCAAGGGUUCACUUUAAAAGGGUCUUCGCAAAGCAUUUAUUGAGUAACCGAAUAAUGGAGUGGGGUUGAUCCUACUCAAAGGAUCCAAAUUUUAAUGCUACCAGACUCCCCAUCCACGGUAGCUCAUGGCACAACUAUCGGGCACUUCUAAAAUCUAACACACACCUUGAAAAUCAAUGAGCUAGGCCUAAUAAAACCACUUUGCUGCAAUUCCCCUAACUGCUUCUUCAGUUCUGCCAACUCAGAUGCUGCCAUCCUAUCUGGUCUCUUGGCUAUAGGAGAGGUUCCUAGGAUAAGAUCAAUUAUGAACUCUGUAUCCCUGUCCAGUGGCAUUCCAGGUAGUUCUUCAAGGAAGACAUCGGGGUAUUCACUCACUACUGGGACUUCCUCUAUAGCCUUAGCUUCCAUGCUAAAAACCAUCAAGUCUGGUCCACUUUCCUGAGUGUGACAAGUCACUUGCAUGCCAUCCUAAUUGGUUAGGCGUACUACCUUAUCAGCACACCCUAUGUGACCAUCAUGUAGGCUUAACCAAUCCAUCCCAAGGAUCACAUCUAUCCCCUUAGACUUAAGCACUACUAAGUUUGCUAAGAAUUUUAUCCCACUUAAAUUGAUCCUUACCCGGGAACAACCUAGUUGGCAUCGAAUGUCAGCUCCAGGCGUUCGGGUUAAUAAGAGUAACCUUAGUAGUACUGUAGAUAUAUUGUGAUUGUUCACAAAACUUGAUAAUAUGAAAGAAUGUGAUGCUCCAGAAUCAAAAAGUAUUGUUGCCAAGACUGAGCUGACUAAAAACUCACUGAGUACCAUGCCCUGAGCUUCUCGAGUCUCUUGCACGCUGAUGUGGUUGAUGUGGGCUCGUCCAAAUGACUAAUGGGAAAGCCUCAUCUGCUGGUUGUUGUUGUUGCUAGGGUUGUUGUUGCUGCAGAUGGGAACAUGGUUGGCACCUGACGAGGCUGGUCUUGGCCCAUUCACAAAGUUGGAAAAGGUUGAGGCUGCUGGCUUGUUGUUGGCGUAUGGAUAGUUGGCUAUGAAAUGUCCUGUCUCGCGACAGUUGAAACAUGCCCUGUUGUUGCUGGUGACUUGGCUGGCGUUGCUCUGCGGGGCCUUGAUGGGGUUCUGGCUCCUAAAUGGGGCAUUGGGUUGGUGAGAACCGGAUGCUUGACACUAGGUCCUGUACUGCAUAGGGGCCUGGGACCUAGGCACUGGAUGACCAAAGUUUCAUGACUUCUGGAAACGGUCCUAUUGGUGGGCCUUGUUCUCUAGGAACCGGCGCUUGUUGUCCCUUCUCUCAUCUGCCUUGGCUCUCUCAGUCAAGAUAGCCAUGUUCAUCAUUGUGUUGGAAUCCGGGUAGAUCUGAGGAGUAAGCAGGGUCCUAAGUUCUACACUCAAGCCCUUGUUGAACAUGUCCUGCUUCUUUUCAUCCUUGUCCAUUUCUUCCGAAGCAUAAUGGGCUAGCUCCAUGAACUGAUAGGUGUACUCCUCCACAGACUUGCUGCAUUAGCGCAGUUCACGGAACUCAUCCGCCUUGCGCUUCAUGGUGGCCGCUAGAAUGUGAUAGCAGCAAAACUAUAUCACAAACUCCUCCCAAGUGAUACUAGAAGCAUCUUGGGCGGCUAUACAGUAGUUCUCCCACCAAGCUAGAACAGUCCCAGUUAGCUGAUGGGCAGCCAAGAGAACCUUGUCUCUGCGCUCACAACCAAAUGGUUCCAGCUUCCUUUGGAUAACCUGUAGCCAUUCGUCUACAUCCAAAGGGUUAAUGGUCCUACCAAAAGUGGGUGGCUUGGUCCGAAGGAAGUCUUUCAGCUUCUCAUUCAUGCUUUGCCUGCGGGGCCUCGGGCGGGUGAUGGCAUUGGCCAAGGCUUCUAGCAGAAGAGUCUGAUUUUUCAUUACUUGCACCAGAUCAAUAACAGGCGAAGGUGGUGGCUGUUGUGCGCCCCCCUUGGCUUUCUCCUCCCCCUUCAGGCUGACUCACCUCCUACUCCUGAUGGUGCACUGCAGGGGGUGGUGCUUGCCUUUCUUGCUGUCUUUCUGCACUAGGGGUGGCAUGGUCCUAGCUUGGGGAGGUCCUGGUGGCAUGGUCCUAGCUUAGGAAGUAUCUGUAGAUUGGGUGGGAUUUCAUGAGACUUGGAUUUGGAUUUAAGGUGAUGUUUAAGUUAAUUAAUUCGUAGUUUCGGAAAGACAAAAUCGACCUCCUGUCGACAAGCAAACAGACUAACAACACAACAAGCACAAACGAUUUUAUUUUUGCCAUGAGGGUUACAACACCUGGAGGUAAGGCCAAAACACGCACUACACAAUCUGGUACAACAACACAACUGGGGGGCGGGGUUACAACUCUAAACUUCGGACCGAGACGGCUUCACUUCCUAGGGUACAACUCUUAGUUGGGUACCCUACUCGCGGGGUGAGUCUUCAUCCUAGACGGAGUGGUUUUCUGGUGGGAUGAGGAGUGCCAACACAUCGUCCUCCACCGAGGGUGGCUUGGCGAUUUUAGAGCCUCGUCUGGAAGACUCUAAAGGUGGUGGUGCUUGUGGAGCGUUGGGGCUCUUUCGCUUGCCGGAUCGGGGCCUCGUCAUCUUCCAUAGCCACCAUCCUCCUCCUAGCAUGAUUCACGAGGUGGGCCUCCUUCAACUCCUGGGAAUGCCGAUCAUCGGCCUGCUUGAGGGCCUCAAUGGUGGCAGCCUCACUGCUUUGGGCGGCCGCAGCUCGUGCCUUGGCUUCUACCAGCUUCACCUGGAGCCUUCUCACCAUGACCUCUGCGUCCUCGACUCUGCGAAUCUGCUGCUUCAUCUUCAAGGUAUGCUUGUCAUAGAGCUUGUCUAAGGUGAGGAGGUAAGCAGCCAUGUGGAGCACCGUGGGGUCGUCCUCGCACUGCCCACGUCCUUCCAAAGUCCUCACCCGGACCAGCCAGACUGGGCAGUUCUUCUUGACAGGCGGGUAGAAUCUCAUCGGAGUGUGGCCGAUGUGCCCCUCAUAAAUCUAGCACAGGAAGCGUAGAGCCUUCCUGACUGCCACUUGGUAAGUGUCCUCAUGCCGAAAAUUGGUGGCAGACACAUUCCAUGGCUGGAUGUCGGGGUAGUAGCUACUCCUCCCGAUGUAGAUAAUCAUUUCACACCGAAGGAUCCUGUGGUCCUCGUACUCCCUGCUGGUGUACUCUGAGCACUCGUAAAUGCCGAGGUGGUGCAUGCAAGCGAACAACAACCUGGGAAAACCGAGCUCCUCCAAGCAGUGGCUGUUGACCCAUCCUUCUUCAGCCAUCAUUUUUGCGACAAAGCAAGGGAAGCAAGAAAUUUUAUAAAUCACAUAUUUUGGUCAAAAAGGCUUUUCUGGUCCUAAUGGUCGCAUCCUACAGCCAACGACGACUCUCAUACCACCUGAAGCGUCCCCACAUAAGUAGAGACUUAAAUGUGAUACAAUAACACAUUUAUUCAACAAAUGGUUCAUAAACCGUACAACUCCUAAGGGAGCGGACACGAAAGCCAUGCCGAAACGAUAAGUAAAACAACAGUAACGACCCAAGAUAUUGUCCAGAUGAACACUAGACAGCACUCGGAACUACAAGCUAGCGAAAGCAUCCUGCAAAUGCCCAACACCACAGGCAACGUUGGGUGCAGAAGCAACCACCUACUCGAUGUCCUCGGCAACGAAGUCUGGGUCUUCCUUUGAAGCAAUAAAACAAGGGUGAGUACAAAGGUACUCAACAAGUCCAACCACACCCACGAAGGGGGAUAACAAGGAUAUGCACAAGUCAUAACAGGGAUAAGGCUAAGGUUUAUCUGCAAUAAAGCUAGAUUUUUAACACAUGCUGAGGUUUUUCCUACCCAGAGGAUCCAAAUUUUAAUGCCACCGGACUCUCCGUCCGCGGUAGCUCACGGCACAACUGCCGGACACUUCCAAAAUCCAACACACGCCAUGAAAAUCAUUCAUCUCCCAAAAGCUAGUUAUGUGCCCAAACCAUAACUCGUCCAAUACCGUGGACACGGCUAUUCGAAUAGGUUUUAACUGUGCAGAGGUGUACACUUUACCCACAAGUAGGGUACCACAACACAAACACCUUAGUGUUGGCGCGGAUCCUAACAAAGCCAUUACCCAUCUUAGCUAAGACCUAAUAAAUCAUCAUGGAAGCAACCAUGGGGCUAAGGACCUACCAACAAGGUCUUAACCAGGACCUAAGCCUACGUAUGCUUACUCCUUAUCCAUGAUCUCCCAUUGCUCACCUAGCACACCGACGAUUAUUAGACUUGCUAGUGGGGUUUAUGUUAAGCCUUUGCCACAUACACAGGUCGAGUGGUUGCAUUAUAAAUUGGGUUAGGAAAGAUGACACAUCAACUCGCUCCUUAACCAAGACAAGUUAGAUAUCUCCCAACCUGCUCAACCACUAAGGUACGAACCCAACUUGGCUUUUGACAUAAGAAACACCCAUCCGUCUCAUCUAAGCAUUUUCUUCCUUUUACUUCCCGAAACCCAUUUACCUCUUUUAAAUCACUCACACCUUUAUUCUUUGAUAAAAUACAUUGUAGUCAUAAUUGAAUUGUAAUAAAAUGAGUAACAAGGUCCUAAGCAUUCAAACAGUAAUUAUCAUACAAACAGAGCAUAUCAUAUUUAGAGAUAAUUCUAGGACGUCAAGGAAUAAUCAUAACAAUCAAGGGGUGGCUAUCCAACCGGGUUUCAGCAAUAAAAUAAUAUGCAAUUUAUAAAGUUAGCCAAUAGGUUGUGUUUGAAAAACUAGGAUAAAUAUGCAUCAAGGGUGAGAUUGGACUUGCCGUCCUCAAAGCCUUCCGGGAGUUUGUGCUCGUGGUACGGGUCCUCGGGCUCUGGCUCGUGGUACUGGCCUCCAAGCUCCUCUUCGGGCUCCUCCUCCUCGGUCACUCCGCGAUCUAAGGCACACACGAGCGAGCACACAAUAAAUAAAGGAAAAUAGAGUUUUACCCGUUGAGCUCGGGGAGAGAGAGAGAGAGAAGUGUAUAUAAAGGAAGGAAGAGUAUUUUCAGGGAAAUGGUAUAUGACUCAGCGGGAAUAUGUUUAAGAAUGUUGUGGUCGAAUUUGGGUUCAUAGGAGGAAAUUUGGCGCAUAAAAUAUCGGCGAGAAGGUGCUUAGGGGCUGGUUUUAAAGGGUCCAGGGACCUUAUUGCGAGAAUUCUUUGGAGAGGGAGGGGCUCUUGGUGAAAAGGAAAAAGAAGGGGGGUCUCGGUGUAAAGAGGAAAAAGGGGAGGGGGUUUUGUGAAAAAGGGUCCCUCCUCUAUCUAAAACAGAGAGGGAGCAAGGGAGGGGUCGGGCCUGGGCGGCCGGCCGGCGGCGGCGCUUGCUGGCGCGGCGGGGGUUGCGCGCAGCCGGGGAGAGGGGAAAGGGGGGAGGGGAGUGAGGGGAAUCCAUUCCCCUCCUCACCUUGGGCCAAGGGGCGUGGGAGAAAGCGUCGCAGCGGCGGACGACGGGAGGUGGCAGUUGGGCGACGGUGGCGACGACGCUUCAGGGGAGGAGGGAAGGGAGGUGGCGGGAGAGAGCAAUGGUCGGGGUGCGGUGGUGGAGUGGAGGGCCUUUUAUAGGCCGGAGGGGAGGGGGCGACAGGCGGUGCACAGGAGGCGGCACUGGCACGGCGGUAGGGGCUGAGACAGCACGCGGGCGUGGGGCGGCGUGUGGCGCGCCAUGGCCUGAGGCGGCGGGCGGUGCGGGGCAGGGGCCAUGCGGGCGCGGCAAGCAGGGCGGGACGCCAGCGUGCGGUGCACAGCGCACUGGCGCGGGGGCGAUAGAGGGCGGGGCUGAGCGCGGUGCGCCACGCGCUGGCGCAGGACGGGGCGUGUGGCGCGGCACGAGGGGGGGGCACCGUAGGGGAGUCCAGUGGUGUGCGCAUCUAGGGGAGAGGAAGAGAAAGGAGGAAGGGGAAUAAGAAGAAGGAAGAGAGAGGGAAAGAGGAAAGAAGAAAGGAAAAAUGAAAAGAGAGGAAGAAGAAAAAGGGGAUGAGGCAAAGAGAGAGAGAGGGAGAUGGCGGAGAUUGCGGAAGUGGUCGGGUUUGUAACGUGGCGCGAUGCGCGGAGAGGAAAAGAAAAAGAUUGGACGGUCGUCGGCCUUGGGUGCCGGGAUGGCAAAAUUGUCGGGAAGACAGGAUUUGGGAGCUCAAGCAUUGAAAAAGUUUUGAAAAUGAUUUUUAGCGAGUGAUUUAAUUUGGUGAAUUUUAUGGACGUUACACUACGGUAGGGGCCAGGCACGACGUGUGGGCAUGCGGUGGCAUGCGAGGCCAAGGGCGGCGAGCGGCGCGGGCGCAGGGCGCGGUGGGGCUAGAGCGGGGCGUGACGAGUGAUGCGGGGCGCAGGGUGCGGGACCGGGUGCGAGCGCGGGGCUGCUGGCGUGCGGUGCGGGUGCGGGGCUGGGGCGGACGCGUCGUUCUGACGCGGGCGCGGUGGGGGCCGAGGUGGGCGCGGAGUUCUAGCAUCGCCUGGUAGCGAGCACACGAGCGCAACAGGAGUGCGAGGGGGGCCGGGCAGGCGCGCGGGGAGGCAGGCGUGCGCGGCUAGGGAAAAGGAUGAGGGGAAAAAAAGGAGGAAGGGGAAGGAGAAGGAAGAGAGAAAAAGAAUGGGAAGAAAAGGAAAAGGAGAAAAAGGAGAUGAGGUAAAAAGGAAAAAGGAUUGGAGUAAAAAGGGAAAGAUUAAAUUGUGUGAAGAGUUAAAGAGAGAGGGAGGGGGAUGGCAGGUAUUGCGGAAGCGGUCGGGCCGGCAACAUGGCGCGAAGUGUGGAGAAGAAAAGAAAACGAUUGGACGGUGGUCGGCUUUGGUGCUGAGACGGUGGAAUCGCGGGGAAAACGAGAUUUGGGAGCUUAACCGGAGAAAAAAUUUUGAAAAUCAUUUUUAGCGAGUGAUUUAAUUUGGUGAAUUUUAGGGAUGUUAAACCCAAGGACAUAGCACCAACUCUCUUCAAGAUCUGCCGGCCGAAAAACAGAAUAGUAGUAGCGGGCUACAUUGAAACACUUGGAUACGAGACAUAGGGAGGGUAGAAGGGCUCACACUAACACACCUCCACGAGUACUUCACACUCUGGGAAAUGCUCGGUGACAUUCAGCUACAACCGAACCAGGAAGAUCAAAUCAGAUGGAAACUCACAGCAACCGGAGAGUACACGGCGGCAUCGGCCUACAAAUUGCAACACCUUGGAUGUGCCAAAGCGCCAAAACUAAUUGAUUUGGAAAUCAUGGGCGCCGUCUAAAUGCAAAUUCUUUGCAUGGCUGGUAACUCAAAACCGAGUGUGGACAUCGGACAGGCUGCAACGUCGAGGAUGGGCACACAACCUUUCCUGCCCUUUAUGCUAGAAUGCUCUUGAGGCGGCUCUCCACCUUCUAGCAGAAUGUCGAUAUACAAGAAGAUUAUGGAGCCUCGUAGCAUCCUGGACGGCACAACCUACUCUACACCCUCAAUUUUGGAGGCCCAGUGAAGACAUGCUUCAGUGGUGGGAUAAGAUCACUUCGAGCGCCCAUGUCUCCCGUAAAGCGAUUCGGACCUUAACAAUACUAGUAAUUUGGGAGGUCUAGAACGAGCGAAACGCAAGAGUUUUUAGAUAGCCAGAAACGUCAGCGUCGGGAUUGAUGGCCAAAAUCAAAAGCGAGGCAGCAGCUUGGGGCCCAGCGUCUCUUGUAUAGCGAGAAUAACUCUUUUAUUUCUUUCUGGCUAGCCGGUUGUACUCUUCUUCUCUAUCAAUGAAAUAGGCACAAUUUGGUGACCUUUCGUUCGGAAAAAACGCUUCACAUUAGAAAGGCCAGCAAGUGCUUGUUCAAACCAUUUUACAUAGGCAUUUAUCAGAAAAUAAACCAUUUUACAAAGGCAAAUAUGGCUAGGCUUUUAUCCGGGAGGGCACAGCAUGAGUAUCAAAUCGAUGGAUGUAAUGUACCUGCACGACCAUGACCCGUGUGCACAUGACAAUUGACAGGGUCUCACCUCAAAUCUCAACAAACACGGCCACCAACUGCUCCCGUCUCGCAAUCGAGAAUUCAAGACCCAUGUAGCUUCGUCAGAAUCUAAACAAAAAGCCCGAAAACAAACAGAUGACGAGGAGGAACAGGCGAGGUCGACGACAGAUAUCAUUUCUCCUCUCCCAGUCUUGCGAGCGAGCCCCGCCAUGGAUAUCUGCACCAGUUGUUUUCAAGCCAGAUACUAGUUGCGUGCUUGCGUUCGCGUGGACUGCGUCGACUUCGGGACAGGGGACGCUGCCCUUUUCCACGCGCCACUCUGCUCUGAACCCAUCCUCCUCCCCUCCCUACGACCCUACUCCACCACGCAGAGGAGAAAGCAACAGAGGAGGACUCGAGGAGAGAGAGGGAGAGACAGGAUUUCCUCUCGGUCGUCUCCUCGAUCCGUUCUCUGCUCCCAGUUCUUUGAAGCAAGGCACUGGGGUUAACUCCGGCGACCGGAAUUCUCGGCAUCAAGGUAUGGUGGUGCAACGCUUUGCUGCCAAGUUUUAGAUGCCUCUGUUCAUGCCCAACUGAAUUUCGCUGUUUUACGGCUAAGUUGCUCUGCAAAAUUGCAUCUUGCCCCCAUGGCGCCGCGAAGUUCUCUAGCGCCGAAAUUGCGUCUUACCGCGUGACGUCGCCGCGCAGGGGCCGUUUCAACCUUUGCCGCGUUGUGCCAGGCUGCCGCCGCCUGCCAGCGGGAUGUUUCGGUGGAAGAUGGCUUCUUGACGCGUUUCUUCUGGUGCCGCUCCCAUGGCAGGAGCAGGAGGAAGCUAGGACCCGGCACCGAGAGGCGCGCGGUUCGUGCUCCCUAGCGUUGCCUCGCACGGCAUGUUCGUUGCCUCGCCGGGGAGGCACCGGGAGGCGCGCCGCCGGGAUGGACGGUAGGGAUAAGGUGCUCAUCGGGGUCGCCGCCGGCGUCGCUGCCGCGGCGCUCGCGGCGGCGUGCGUGCUCCUGGCCAUCUGGCUGUACCGCCGGCGGGCCAGCGUCGCGGCCCGGACGCGGUCCCUGGAGUCGCCCUCGGCGACGCUGCGGGCCGACGGCUCCCGCUGCGCCAGCCUCGACUCCAGCGUCUCCGUCUCGGUGGUCUCCGAGAGCGUCGCCGACUGGGGCCACCCGCCGACGGCCAAGCGCGCCGCGUUCUGGGCCUGGAGAGGCGGCGCCGGCCACAACGGCAGGGAGCCGCCGCAGCUGACCGUUUCCGGGAUCCCAAAAUAUCAUUACAAGUAUGGCAAUUCUUACUCUUUAAUCUUCGUGUUCAGUUGUUCAUGUUCUUUUUGGCAGUUUUACGCCUGUUUCGAACAUGGGCAUGUUCCAGAAUCAAAUCUUCAGUUAAGGCUGUCACUGAAUAGAGUAGCCACUUGCAAUGUUCCCCGUGAAAUCCCUGCGAAAAAUUACUGCAAGUCAGAUGGGUCUGUUAGGUUGUCACUGAAUAGAGUAGCCACUUGCAUAUGAUCAAAAUAAUCAUUUCUGAAUUGUUCCAUCACGUUGCUGGUGGUUGCUGCUCAGGGAUCUGCAGAAGGCUACCAGCAACUUUACCACAAUUCUGGGGCAAGGAUCGUUUGGUCCUGUGUACAAGGCUGUAAUGGCCACCGGUGAAGUGGUAGCUGUAAAGGUUCUUGCGAGUGAUUCAAGGCAAGGGGAAAGAGAGUUCCAGACUGAGGUAUGUUAAUAUUUUCCGGGGUUUCAUUUUUUGUUUUUUGUUCUAAGAAAAUUAUCAACUUUGGUUGGUGUGAUGGAUGUGGUAAGACUUAUGCACUUUGUUUUGAGGAACAACUAUCCUGGAAAUUGGCUUGUUUGUUGUCAUGCUGUGUCCUCAAUGAUGCUCCAAUCGACAAAACACCGCCAUUGCACUCUGGUGACAUAUUAUGGAGUCAAAAAGCUGAUGAGAAAUGAGCACAUUCACCUAAAAAGAAUAAGUACCAUGUGUCUAGAGACAAGUGCAAAUGCAUUGAAAAAGAAGGGCCUCCUAGCGUUUGGAUACCCCCGCUAAACUUCGUGUCACAUUGGAUGUUUGAUACUAAUUACGUAUAUUAAAUAUAGUCUAAUUACAAAACUUUGCACAGAUGGAGUUUAAUUCGCGAGACGAAUCUAUUAAGCCUAAUUAGUCCAUGAUUUGACAAUGUGACUACAGUAACCAUUUGCUAAUGAUGGAUUAAUUAGCCUUAAUAGAUUCAUCUCGUGAAUUAGACUCCAUCUGUGCAAUUAAUUUUGUAAUUAGCUCAUGUAUAGUCCUCCUAAUUAGCAUCCGAACAUCCGAUGUGAUCCUGCUAAAGUUUAGCACCUCGUAUCCAAACAUCCCCUGUUCAGUCCCAUCCCUAUGAUUAGCUAAUUUCAGGGUUACUUUUUUCUCAGAUACAUCCACUUGUUGUCACAAAGUAAUUAUGUUCUUGAAUGAUGGAACACGCUUUGCCUCAAAAAAUUGAAGCAUCCUUUGCCUCAAAAGGAAAGGAAAGAAAAAAAAAGAAACAUGCUGUGGGUAAAGCCUAAAGCAAGUACCUUUAAUCUAUGUGAAGUAGUGCUGUGGACAUUUGACUCUAAUGACCUGAUCAAAGUGCAAUCGUGACUACAUUUUAAUUAUUUGCAGGUAGCAUUGCUUAGCAGGUUGCAUCAUAGGAACCUUGUUAAUUUGGUCGGAUAUUGCGUCGAAAAAGGUCAGCGCAUUCUGAUUUACGAGUACAUGAGCAAUGGGAGUUUGGCAAGACUUUUGUAUGGUAAGGGAGACAAUUUCUCUAAUUUUGUAAAAGGAAGCAUGAAAUGAGGAAACAUUACAAAAAUGAUUUGCAUAUUAGUUUUACACAGAGCAUAUAGUAUUUCAGUGCACUACGUAGCGAACAAACAAUUGUUUUGUCAUUUGAAAGACUUGUUCCUAAUUACUUUGACAUAAUGCCAUUCAGGUGACAAUAAACGGAGUUUGAGCUGGCAAGAAAGGCUGCAAAUUGCUCACGAUAUUUCUCAUGGGAUUGAGUAUCUGCAUGAAGGGGUACACUAACUGUUCAUGACUAUUGAAGUGUGUGUUCAGUAAGUUAUCUGAUCUAUGUUUCAUGUGUGCAGGCUGUUCCACCUGUUAUUCACAGAGACUUAAAGUCUGAUAAUAUACUUUUGGACCAUUCAAUGAGGGCCAAGGUUUGACAAUUUAUGAUGUAGUUUUUAAGUAUUAUCUUGUCACUUUGAAGUAUUGAUCAUUCAACUGCUCCAUAUGCACUUUUAAGUAUCAUCCUGUCAGUUGUUUUAACUGAACCAAUACUACUCCUGAUUAGUAUAAAGUUGAAUGAUUCAACUCAACCUGGAUAUAUGCAACUAAAAGCAAGAUUAAAAUCACAAGACAAAAUACUUAGCCUGAAACUAUGCUCAUAUAUUCUAAUUUACCUUUUCCGGGUGGGUGCAGGUUGCAGACUUUGGUCUAUCAAAGGAGGAAGUUUAUGAUGGAAGGAAAUCGGGUCUCAAGGGCACCUAUGGAUAUAUGGAUCCUGACUACAUGUCCACAAAUAAGUUGACAAAGAAGAGUGACGUGUAUAGUUUUGGCAUUAUACUUUUUGAACUGAUAACAGCCAUAAAUCCACAACAAGGUCUAAUGGAUUACAUUAAUCUGGUAAGUCAUUUUAACGUUACUGAAAGUCCAUCAGAAUUAGAAAGCCUGUUUUCCACUUAUUCAAUAGGUAUUAUCACUCAAAGUUAGGAGGUUGGUCACAUGUUUUAUAUUAGACUAGUUCUGCCCGGUCACAACUCACAACUCCACUUUUAAGUCAUGCACAUCAGACCAGUGCACUAACUAAGACAUAAGUUUUGCAUGAGCUAUGUAUAAUACUAUAGUUCAUUUUAGUCCUUCAUUACCCUGUGAAGCAUCAUGUUGGGUAGCAAACAUUGUUCUGAACCUCAGUCACAAACAUUGUUGUUUAGUACAACUUCUUACUACUUGUGUUUGUGUUUGUUUCUUUAGCACCUCCUAAAAUUCCAGUCACAUCGAAUGUUUAGAUACUAAUUAGGAGUAUUAAACAUAGGCUAAUUACAAAACCAAUUGCACAGAUGGAAACUAAUUUGCGAGACAAAUCUAUUAAGCCUAAUUAAUCCAUGAUUUGACAAUAUGAUGCUACAGUAAACAUGUGCUAAUGAUGGAUUAAUUAGGCUUAAUAGAUUCGUCUCGUGAAUUAGCCUGCAUCUGUGUAAUUAGUUUUAUAAUUAGCUCAUGUUUAGUCCUCCUAAUUAGCCUCUGAAUAUUCGAUGUGAUAUAAAUUUUAGUCAGGACUAAAGAUCCAAACAGCCCCUUACUACAUUGCUGUAAGAUGAAGAUGCCUUGUGAAAGCAGUCUGUGAGCACAAGUGUCAUCGGUCGUGCUGUGGAGUAUUUAUAUGAUGCAUGGAUCCUUUCAGGCAGCACUUGGAGGGGAGGGAAGGGUUGAUUGGGAUGAGAUACUGGACAAGGACCUCCUAGUAGGGAACAUCCCUGAAGAGGUUAGGAUGCUUGCUGAUGUUGCCUACCGAUGCGUUAACAAGAGUCCGAGGAAGCGCCCUUGGAUAUCAGAGGUCACGCAGGCCAUCUCAAGGCUCAGGCAGCGCCAGCUGACAAAGCAUGAUGCUCUGACUUUGCCAAGGAGCGAGACCAGGACAGUCCUGAGGAGGAUAGAGUACCAGCAUGUCGAGCUGAGCGACAUUACCAGCAUGAAAGAACUGACGCCGAUAAGGGCAUGAGCUUGUUCUAGUAUGUAGGUUCCUUGUAGAGUUAGAUUUUAACUUGAUCAAAAAGUAAAUCAAAAUGUAAAAAGGGUUGAACUUGGUUCGAGGAAGCUGUAGCUGUUUGAUGAAAGCAUCAAGUAGUUGAGGUCCUUGAAGAUCUCUUGGAUGCAGUGAGAGGUCCCGUUAAUUGGAGUUCUGACUGACCUUAGAUUUGAAAUCGUUUUAAAUAAUCAGCAGUAGUAGUUGUAGCAUUUGGCAAGACAAUGGCAUCCAUAUUACAGAUUUACGGUAAAUCAACAAGGAAAAUUUUGUUUAACUUAUAGAACCAUCGUAAGUUCCAUGAGCUUCAAGAAACACCGCUGAAAGAAUCCAGGAUGUUUUAAAACACUGAAAAAAAAAUCAACUGCGAAUUUUAUUUCCAUCAGUCGCCGUUAUUCUUUGGACAUUCUUCUUUCUUAAUUUUCUGGUGUCAUAGUUGUGCAAUAGCAAAAGUACCUUGGAAUACAAACACUGCAGCAACAAAAGCAACAGCUGGAAAUGGAUAGAAACACACACAUUCCAUGAGUCCAUGACGAAAACACCUUGGGGUACAAACACUGCAGCCACAAAGUUUCAGCUGUGUUUUCCCAACAAGUUUCUGGACUUCUGUCGCAUUUAUUCUGGUCGUACAACAUAUGAGAGAAUUGAUUUCACACCUAAAGACUGCAAGAUAGACUGAGGGCAUUAAACUGUAGCAUGCCUUUAAUUUCACAGAUGCAGUACAACUAAAAGUCACUAAAAAUUUUUACCAUGCCCAUGCGAACGAGAAAAUCAAUACUCCGGUAGCAACAACAGCAGAGGAGCAAGCUAGAGCUAACUGCCACCCUUAAGGAUAAGGUACCAGACUGAUACUUAGGGGGUGUUUGGAUCCUAAAGCUAAAGUUUAGUCCGUGUCACAUCGGAUAUUCGGAUGCUAAUUAGGAGGACUAAACAUGAGCUAAUUAUAAAACUAAUUGCAGAACCCCUAGGCUAAAUCGCGAGACGAAUCUGUUAAGCCUAAUUAAUCCAUCAUUAGCAAAUGUUUACUGUAGCACCAUAUUGUCAAAUCAUGGACUAAUUAGGUUUAAUAGAUUCGUCUCGCAAUUUAGCCUAGGGAUUGUGAAAUUGGUUUUGUAAUUAGUCUAUGUUUAAUACUCCUAAUUAGUGUCCAAACAUUCGAUGUGACAGGGGCUAAAAUUUAGCCUGGGGAUCCAAACACCCCCUUAGCAUAUCAACUACAAAACAACAAAAUGAUUGUAAAUUGAGCUUUAAGAUUCAUCUGAGGUCUGUCACAAUGUUUAAUUACCACAUCAGAAACUUUCUGCUUAAUGUUUAUUUGAAUGGAACUUUUGAAUGCAUAUCAUGAGCGGAAGAGUUGGGCGGCCAAGAACUGGGGCAGACAUUGCAUCCCAACUUCCUUCAAGCAACUCAUGUCUAGAAGGUAGAAGCCUAGCUAGAAAAUGAAAAGAAAAAGAAAACUAUGUACAGAGCAAGGCCAUCAUCACGACAUGGACCUCUGGAUCAGGCGCUCAAUCCCUCAAGCCCUAUCGCAAUCCCGUGAAGGAUGGCUUUAUUCUAGAACGGCAUAGCUUAACACCUGCAAGAAAGCCACAGCAAACAGCAGCAGCUGAACAGGUGCUCACCUCCCUAGUCCUGCGCUAACUCAAAACUGGCAAGAAGUGCCCAGUCUCUGCUUUGCCCUUUGCGCUGUCACGCUGCACUUGCGUGAGCGGAAUGCCUCAGGCAGCAGCUCCCGGAACUUCUCGAGGAACAGCCCCCACAUCUCGGGUCCCAUGUCAGCCAGCUUGACGAAGCUCACACUUGCCGGGAGCAUAUCAUUUGCACUCCCCCAGUUACAAAGUUGAGAGCCAUUGUUGUUGCUGUUGCUCUUUGAAGUUUUCACAGAAUCCACAACCUUAGGACCAGCAGACAGUUGACGCUGGGUUUUGUCUGUUAGACUGACACCCUUCAGUGAGGUUGACAGCUUCGAAAUGUUAGCCAGCCACUUAUUAACAGGCUUAGGGCAAGCUAACUUUCCUGCAUCGCUUUCUACCUCCUCAAUGUCAUCUUCCUCCUCCUCCUCCUCUUCUUCUUCUUCUUCAUCAUCAUCACCCUCAUCCAAUUUAGACAGUUGGUUUCUGGAGUUUCCCCGCUUAAUGUCAAACUGAUGGGCAGAUGGUUCUUUUGGUAUUUCAUGAUCUUCACUGUCGAGUUCAAAUUGAGUUAAAUCCUCGUCACCAGAGUCAUGUUCUGAGGAAUUGUCAUCUUGUUCUGUUGCUAGCCUCCUUGCCUCCAUACAGAUAAACUCUAGCUCACUUGGCUGAUCUUCCAUUCCAGUAAAUUCCCUGCUCAUCAUCUCCCCAAUCUCUGCAAGGCACAGACCAAAUGCUGUGGCUUCUUUCAGAAAUAUGGUUGAGAGUAUUAGUACCCUCAGGCAUGCUUCAUGGAUCAUAGGCAAUUCCAUGCGAAGCAUGUCAGCAUCUUUCACUGGAUCAAGAUUUUCUAUGUACUCGAGCUCAUCCUCAGAGAAUGGGACUGAUGCCUGAGGCCAGUGGAUCCAUUCAAAAUAAGGAUCCUCCAAACACUCCGGAAGGCAGAGACCAUGAUCAAUAGGAAUAAGCUCAGUCAGAUUCCCAAAUUUUCCUGCUCCAGUCUGCUUCCUUACCAGCAGAUUUCCAGCAUGUCUGUCAGUGUUGAAGAUCCUGAUGUCAAGAAUAGCAAUCCUAUGGACAGCAGAAACAGGAAAGCUUGAGGUGCCAUAAUCACUGGCAUCAAAAUCAUGAGGAAUAAACUGCUGAAAUGAUGCAAUCUUGCUAACAGCUUGAGUACCACCCUCAACAACAUUCUUGUUAGCACAGUUGACUCCUUCAUUUAUAUGAAACGCAGGAUGAGAAAUCCUAACGAGAACCGUCGGAGGGACAUUAGCAGAGUUAUCAUAGUCCAGAAGGUAGGCAGCAACUUCUCUAAUACAAGUCUCACCAACUCUAACUGAUCUUUUGAGGCCUGGCUGCCCAAGGGAUUUCCCUACAAAACCUUUUGGGUUGUUGGGAGCAAAUGGCUCCUCAUCAUUUGGCUUCACAAUUGCAGCAUUCUGACCUUUGCUGUUCCUGAAAUAGUAGGCACCACCAAGCCCGCCACUGACAGGUACUGGAUCCACACCUUUUCUUAUAGCCUUAGCAACAUCCUUCACAAGCAGCCUUGUUCGAGAGCAACGGCUUGGGCAUACUAGCAGUUCAAUUGAACGACCCUUAUCUCUUUGCUGCUGGAGAUCAUUGCCCGUAGGAGACAUGCAUGGUGUGGAGGAGCUUCGAUGCAUGGAAUUCUUGGUGAGAAGCAAUGGGGAAUCAUUUCUGAUGGUGCUGAGAUCAUUUUUUAGGACACGAUCACCUAAUACCAGAGAACUCUCCUCGGUGGGAAAAUUAAGGGCCACCUGCAUCCUUCUUUUGACAGUGUGCACAUUGUCACCACGAUCCAGUUGAACAUCCAGGACACAACCAGUGUCCGUUUGGACAAAGAGACGUUUCCAUCUUCCUACCCUGGCUUCGCUUCUACUCUUGGUGGGGUACUCACUGCUAAGAGCUCGGUCCAAGGCUGAAACUGCCAUCUGGGUCUGCACUGGGCUCUCCAAGUUGCGAGACAUAGCGGACACCUACAGAGGAAUUGAGGCCAAUGAACUGGGGGAGCUGCCACAAUGCAGGCUUUCUUGCUUCUCUCUUGUUUUCUUCUGCGCUCGUCAACUUCAGCAGACGAGUGCGAGAGAGACGUCACCAGCAGUGAUCAUCAGGCAAUGACGGCACCAGAAAGCAACAACAAACAAGGAAGGUGAAGACAGCAGGGGGCCGUAACUGAUGAAACUGGACAAGGUUGCUUGUUGAUUGCCAGAUCCUGUGAGAACAGACAGAAUAAGAGGAGGUUAUCAUCGUAUUCCCAAGUCAGAAGAAACUAACAACUAACAAGUAUCAAAACAAGACAAGUAUGAUCUCCUCACUCAUAACUUAAAAACCACUAUAGCAUCAUUCCUGCUCCAAAUGAAGCAUGAAAUAGAAGAUAAGGAAGUUUCCUCAUGGUACACUCAGGCAGUCACGCAAUCAAGAAACCCCAACAUUUCACAUGGCUAAAGUAAGCAUCCAUGUUUGUUAAGGAAAAGUUGGCGCACGCAAGGAGUGGACUACCACUUUCCAUAUAAUUGUUGACCAUUAGGUUGUUUUUUUAAUGUACAUGUUGAAACUAUGAUAUGUUAGUUGAAGAUAGGUGCAUCUUUUGCAGUUUUAUCAUUUAAUUUCAGAUUCGAGCUGUCCCCCCAUCACUCUUCCAUGCAGCAGCCGUAGCAGCAGCUACAGGUGCUCUGGCCUGAGUGCCAGCUGCUGCUAUUUGUGAGCCCGAACGGCUGUGCUGCACAGCACAGCUGCAGCCGCAGCCGCUCAACAAGCAUCUGUGUUUGCUUACCCCAAACCUUUGUCAACCGAUGAGAUCCAGCCAUGCCACUAAAAUUCCACGCGGCAACUGAAAUAAGGAACCUCAAAACCCACUUCUCAGUUCGCCCUAGUAGCUGAAUGCAUCUGCCACCUCAUCUCAUCUCGGAGGGGUUAGUCAAAACUUUAAGCACUUGUCAAAGGUGGCCCUUUUACUACAGGAACAUCGUAGCCGAAUCUACACUCUCCGGUAGAUGCACAGGCACAAAUUCUGCUCCGCAGUUUUAUCGACACAGAUCCGCAGCUGCUAGAAGCAGAUGAAGAAGCAAAUGCCUAACGCUAUGACGUCAAGACUCAAGAGAAGUAGAAUAUUAACACCAACAUGUCCGCUACCAUCGAUUCACCAUGCUGAGGUGAGGAAUAAGGCAGCCAAGCUGAGAGCUUAGCGCAGCGGCAUAGCAAAAGAAACCAUCGUUCUGGAAGCUACUAGAAAUGGAGCUGUGCGCAUCUAUGUGCAAGAAACCACAGGUCUUUCCUGCUAAACAUGCCACCCUUUGCUCUCCCGGCCAAACAGAUGAGGCAAAAACGGAUAAAUAAUAAACAGAGCCGGCAGAAUUAGUGAAAUGAACACCAGCUCGAACGGAGGACCCCAGGAAAAUCGGGGAGGAGAAGCCCCCAGCCGUACCUGAUCCAAUGCGGAGCCUCGGGAAUGGUGGCCUGCCGCCGGCGGAGUCGCAGAUCUGGCACUGCGCCGGUGCCGCCUCCGCUGCCGCACACCGAGAAGGCACCACCACCCGUCCCUGCCCGGCGGCCGGCGCAGCACCACCAACUCUCGGUCGCUGGCAGCACACCCCCACCUCCCGGCGCCCCCCACUGGCCGGCUCUGCCUCCCAACUCCCACUCACGCUUCUUCAAUCGUUCUUGGCGUCCGUGCUGUGUGUUCGUGCGCAGGGGUGGUGCCUCAAGUAGGGGGUGAGGGAUGGAUUAAUAGAGGGGGUUAAGGAGGCGGGGUUAGCAUAACCAUGGUUAGAGAGAGAGAGACGCGAGUUGUGCGUGAGGGGAUUGGUCCAGGCAACAGGCUUCUCUGCAAUUUUCCUUUUUGCGCUUGACACCCUCUCUUUUCCUUGAAUUAGGUUGCCAAUAACUAUAGAGUAUAUUUCUAGUAUUUGAAGAAAAAAAAACUUGGACUUCUAAGAAGGAACGGGUGAUUUGCAUAAAGGACCUUAUUUUAUUUAUUUAUAUAUAUAUAUAGAAAUAUAAGAGGGCAAGCCCCUAGAGGACCUUAUUUUGCUCACUCCCUUGUAAUGGAAAUUGUCAAUUAUAAUUGUUUUGUUUGGCAGUUUUGGAACACAAUCGCUUGGUGCGUGUACAAGUUUGCGUUACAUGUUGUUUGUUUUACGUACGCUACAAUUAGCUGCCAUGUAACGGGCCCUUAGGAAGCCGACACUGCCCACGCUUGGGCACGUUUUGAUUCCACAGCUCCACGUACGCUACAAUUAGCUGCCAUGUAACGGGCCCUUAGGAAGCUGACACUGCCCACGCUUGGGCACGUUUUGAUUUCACAGCUCCUAUGUGACGGGUUCAUAUAGGAAACCGACACCGCUCACACCUUGGCACCUUUUGAUUUCAAGGCAUCAUCUUACUUUCUCUUAAUAUUCUUCUUGCUAUAAUCCCUUCUUACAUACGAUACAGUUAGAAGAAAGGCAUUACAUUGAGGUGAGGGUACCAUGAAGAGGAACCAUUUUCUAGAAGAUGGGAAACGGAUAGGACGCAAUUACCUGAAUAUUUUGCUAUCUACGCAUCACUAGAAUUUUCCUCCUAGGUAGGGUAUGGCGUUGUUGACAAGAGCUUAGCUUUUGGAUGAUUGGUGAAUGCUUUUUGUUGCGAGCAUGAUAGGUUACCAUGUUGUGGAUUCCUUGAGAGUGGCACUCACAACUCAUUGACCUUAGCUGCGGAGAUGUACCACUACAUGAUGGUUGCGUUGACUAUACUAUGCUUGCCACUAUUACCAUUGAGCCUAUCACCGCCAAAGAGAGAUGGCCUUCGGCGCCAAGCAAUUUCCAUUUUCUUUACAAGAGGAACCAAAUGCUAGCAUGUUCCAUUGUAUUGUUUCUUGCUCUAGUGUCUUUAUGUUUGCAUUCACAUUUGCCCAGUAGGCAUUACCUUAGUUUCAUAGUAACUAUAGUCUAUACGUAGAAACAUUAGUUGGGCAUAUGAUAGAAAGGAUACCCUAUGUACUAUAUCCAUCGAUAGCUUCUAGGACGGCAUUGCUCCUAGGGCUCUUAUCCAUAGAAACCAUCUCCCUUACUCCCUCUUGGCGAUAUGCAUUCCCCAACUUUGGCCACAUAUCUCACUUACUCCCUCUAGGUGAUAUCCUCUACCCACACUUUGGCUAGCCUAUUUGGUAGUUUUAUUUUGUACAUUAGCAUUGCUUUGAGUGUAUCUUCUAUGUCACCACUACCACUCUAGUCAUACUAACUAGGUAGGCUCGUUUUAGCAUCUUGACUAAAUGUUAUACAAUCAGCCAUAAUGUAUAAAACAACCACCAUACAUAUAGAAAUCCUCUACAUACACAUUGUGCCCUACUCCAAAGACCAAGGAAAGCCUAGUUUGUCCACUUGAUCAACCAUCCCUCCUCCCUCCACAAUUCAUGGUCUACUCAUUGUGGUUUGUUGCAUCCCUGUUGAGAAUACAUCUUCCUCAUUUGAUCACUCCAAUCCCUAGAUCUCAUUCAAAGUAUCAAUCAAGGUUGUAGUUAUGCCACCAUAGGUAACUUUUGGUCUAUAUGUUUCGUUCCCCCAUGAAAAUCCUGUUUUGUAUCCCCCAAACUUUCAUAGAUGAACAUUUUGUAAUUAUCUCUUACCUCUUGUUUGAGUGCAUCACUUAAUUUCUUUAAAUUGUCUUCGGGUUUAAAUUUCCAUCCAUGUGUUCUCUCUAGAGUUUCUAACAUCAAUAGUGCUCAUUCGGGAUUUAGGCCUUCUAUUGAUUGGUCCAAUCUCCGGUUUGUCACAUGUGGGCUGUUUGAUGAUACUUGGGCUUAACGGUUUUGUCGGAUUAGGAUUGGAUGGAGUAGGUCAUAGGCCCAUUUCAAACCUAAAAUAAUCCCGAUGCCUAUUGCCCACCCUCUUUUUCUGGGCCGCCAUCCACUACUUACCCGAUGUGCUAUUUAAAGCAAAUGUUACUUAGAUAUACAUGUUAGGCUUUAAGUUGGGCUCAAUUUCAAAGGUUAUAGGUUGGGAUCAAACUAGAUCUGAUUGUAGGCUCAUUUUGAAAUAUAGUCUACCAAUAGUUUUGGAUAGGUAUACUAGUUAGCCCAUGUACCUCCUUGGCCCCUAGCUAUCAUUCACUUGUGAUUUGGACCGUCUAGCUAGCACUUGGUUAAAUGGCACACAGAACCAUAAAACCUAACAUUAGUUUGCCUCAAGCUCUCCAUUGACUUGUCGCUAUAUGAGGGUGAGUGUUGUUUCAUUUAAUUUGCGUAUCCUAUCGUGAAAUUUGCGAAUAUUAGAACACAUGUUCCUUGUAUAUCCUCAUUGGAUACACACUAUGAGCUUACUAUUGUUCCAUUCUAUUUGUGAUGACAUCGCAAAAAAGCAUGAAAUGAUAUUCUCAUGAAAAAUAAUAGGGAUAAAUUUCCUUCUACCAUGGCUACACAAAUGGAAUGUUGGCAUAAAUUGAAGGAGCCCUUUCAAUUAAAAAUCUACCAUAAGGCCCUUUCAAGUUUGAUCCACCAACUGUAUUUCAAAUGAACUUUUAUGUUUAAUGCAAUGUUUACUACACCAAAUUGAGUUUUUCCCUCAAAUUUUGUGAUGGCUUCAUCAAUUUCUCUAGUACCAUUGCUUGGCAAUGCUAUAAGAAAAACAAAGUAUGCCCUUUCUGUUUUGAGUAAUAGCGGGAUAUAGACGAAAUCAUUCAUAAUGGGUUGAAGAAGGGCACGGUGCCUAUUAUAGUACAUAUAAGAAAAAUGAAAAGUUUUUUAUAGAUUGUGUUGUAACAAGGUUCAAAUCAGCAUACUAGGUAGGAUGUUUGUAUGCAACUAUCACGACGCUUCCUCAUAAAUUCAUAUGUAAGUCAACUAACAUUUCUUAUAGCAAAGAAAACCAUAAUUGUUGAGUAUUUCAUGAACUAAAUGUCCAAUGAACCUUUCACAAAGGGGCAUAUAACUAAUUCAUAGAGAAAACUUGUCUAUCUAGGUUUACCUAUAUGAAGGGCUACUUCACUACGAUCCCCAAGACUAUUUUUGAAUCAUAGGGAAAAAGUUACAUUGAUGAAAGUUUGGUGGAUCCAAUAAUAAAUUGUAUCCUACCACCUUCAAGGAAAUAACAAACAAAAUCUAACACGAUAGCCACACCCCAUCCCCCACCCCCCGACUGAUUUAGUGGUCCACUGCUUGUGAUAUUCUUAUCCUCUUUGCUCCUCCACGCCUUUGUAUACGGCCAUGACACCCUUAUUCUCCAUACCUAACAUGGGCUACUCUCCCAUUCUUCACUUCUAGACACUAUCUAUCACACUCACCCACCUAACAAACCAUAGCAUAUGCCCUUUUCUUGCCCUACAUGUGGCCUUUUGUUAGCACAUGGGACCUCAGUGAUGCUGAGGAGCUCAUCCGCUCAUUUUCCUUCGACCACCAUAUAGAUCAAUGUAUGAUCACCAAUUGUGAGCUCAUCGAUAUAUUUUUGCCAUUCCAACAUCUAGAGGGAAGGGAUGUGCCCGUAGGAAGGGAAUAGGUUUGUGAUUUUGUCAAUCUUGCCUGAUGAUGUAGAUAGCUUGAGUGAGAUGCAUCACCGGUGAGUGAACCUAGUCCAGUGUAACCAUAUUUUGUUCUCCCUCUCUUCUAUUUCUUUUUCUGCUCUCAUCUACUACAUGGAAGAGCAUCAUCCUAGUGUAAAAUAAUACUAGUGGAUCCUAUUUUUUUCCUCGUUUUGCUUUAGUAAGAACAAAAAGAGUUACAAACAAAUUAAUAUUUUGAUGACAUUAUUCUCUGCAAAAUUGAACAUAUUUGUUUUCCCUCUCUCCUCUAGUGGCUCGGUUUGGCAGGCACAUUGGAGUAGCACUAUUUACCCAUGACAUGACAGUCCAAGACAUAGAACUAGGAUCAUCCUCCUACUCAACCCCUAAUACAAAUUGAAAAAUGAAGGAACGGAGAAGGUGCAGAUCUUCUAGGUGGUAACUACAUUAUUGGUCGAGCUACCAUAUAUUGUUUCAGUCAUGGUCCAAUUCUAGUAUUGGUGCAUUUCCUCAACACAAUUUGAUGUGCUCCUACAUUCUUGAUCUUGAGUUAAUAUUUUAGAAAUGUCCAAGGACCUUACUAUAAAGAUAUAAUUUCUAAAGUUCUCUUCAUGAAAGGUAGGAUCAAUGUACUAAUUUAGCAUUUUUUGGGGGGUUGAUCUAAAAUUAGGCCACAAGCUCUUCCAAAUAAAAGCUAGACUUGCUUUUUCUUUAGUUUUAUGUGAAGUUGUUUUGGUAUAUUGGAGCUUUGCGUAGAUAAAGGGAGAGAAAGGUACAGUGACAUGUCCAAGUCAAGUUUAGUUUGUCUCUAUUAAGUACAGUCAUGAUAUGUAUAUCUACCUAAAUAUUAUGUGUAAAGAUACAUACAUUUUCACUAGAUAUGCACUAAAUUCAGUUAGCUAUGGCUCCUUUACUUCGCUUAACACGGAAGUACAUCUUGUUCUCGUGACACUGGCAUAGCAAGAAGCUUCAUAUCCCUAUUUUGCAUUGUCCUUUUUGUCUUGCAUCAAUGCAUCGCAUGGUUGUGCUCAUCGUGACAGGCUACUGGAGAAUGCGUGCAAGAUUAGGGCCGUAGUGUUGGUCCCCAAGAAAACCAGGUUCCCUGCACAUAGGAACUUUACACCGGUGCUCCACGUCAAGCAUGUCUACCAUGCCAGUUUCUUGUCAAGGGAUAAGAGAUGAGGCUCAUGAUGUGGUUAUCCGAGGUGUUUUCUCUUUUGGUUCACAGUAGCAAGUGUGAGUGCAAAUGUACAUGGUGUGAUGAUGAACAUACCUUGUGAGUUUAUUGUUGAAUGGGAAAAGUUAGCUUUUUCUGUUUGUUUGUUUAGUCUUGUGCUCCUUUUCUUUCCGUGAAUCACUACAUGUUAGCUUCAGUUUUGUUUGUAAUGUCUUUUUAUUAAUUACCUUUUCUGUCUUUUGCUAGAGUGUACGCAUGCUAUAGAUAUCCCUUGUUCUAUGUUGAAAGUUGUUUUAAAGUGGGGUUCACGUAAAAUGAUGUAACUUAAGGGAUUCUCCAUGUCUGACGCAAAAGAUACUUUAAAGUGACUCACAUGGAAUUAUGUAUCUUAAUGCAUAUCUCUAGGAUGUGUAAGUUUUUAGUAGGUGGGCCUAUUCAUCCAUAGCUCUUUUCACGUAAAUGUACUCCUACCCUGCUUCACCCCCACAAUUUUCUAUAAUAAUGUAAAAAAUUUAGAACAUAAAAAUUUAGAUGUUGUUCUUUUGCCAAAAUUUAGAUAUAAGUGCAUAGAAAUCAAACAAUCUAACUCAAUAAAUUUUUGUCAAGGGUACUUUGAAUUUAGAGCAUAUAUCAUCUUUUGUUACUCAUUUGAAUGGUGUAAGAGAAACUACUUUACUAGCGUUUGUCUAACAUGCAUAAUGGACAUUCUGUGUGAACUUGUAGUGAAAUGUAGAAAAGUUAGCUUUUUCUGUUUGUCAGUUUCGUCUUUAUGCUCCUUUCGUGCCUUGAAUCACUACAUGUUAGUUUCAGUUUUGUUUGUAGUGUCCUUUCAAUUACCUUUGCUAUGCUGGAGUGUCUGUAUGCUAUGGAUAUCCCUUGUUGCGUACCGAAAAAAGGAGUUGUUUUAAAGUGGGAUCCACGUAUGAUAAGAUUCACAAUGUUCCAUUCAAAAGUACUUUUCAAAGUGGGACUCAUGUGAGUGAGGUGGUCCUAAUACAUAUCACUAGGAUGUGUAAGGUUUUAGAAGGUGGGCCUGCUUCUCCAAAUUAUUUUCUAUAGUAAUGUAAAAGUGCCGACUGUAUUUUUUCCCCCAAACUUUAUAUCUAAGCGCGAAGAAAUCAAAUAAUAUAACGCAAUAAGUUACUCUCACAAGAGUUUUGAAUUUGGGUCAUAAUCAUCUGUGCUACUUAUAAUAGAAUACUAUAAGAGAAAAUACCUUGCAUUGCAUUGCAAAACCUACCGCCAUCAUAUACUCUCCGUACGACUCUGCAUCAAGCACGCAUGCAAUUAAAGUACACCAAAGUAUUUGCAACGCGUGAUCACUCUCGCUCAGAUUCUUUGUGUUCUCACUUCACUAGUUUCCAUCCUGGAGCGCUGUCAAUUCCACUAUGCCGUGCCUGCAACUCACAGCGACAGCGCCACACGAAUUUGAGCUCAGUUGCCGUGUCGCCAUUGCUUGAGCCAAAAAAGCGACAAUGGAGAUAGAUGCGAAAAAGCGCACGCGAGAAAAUGACGUGCCACACGGCGGAGCGGCAGCGGGGAUCGAACGGCGACGGCGACGCACACACGGGCGGGCUAAUAGCGCAACCUGUCGGAAGGAGCAUGGAACCUCCGGCUGGAUGGAGUCUCGCUUUUGUUUCCAGCUGCUCAGACUGAGGGUGAUUGCCAUGGCUGUCGUUCUUUCUUUCUUCUUUCUGAUGAAGCGGCUUUCUUUUCUAAGCGGCAUUGCCGUCGUUCAUUUGCUGUACCGAUGAUCAGUUGACAAUAUGCUUCAAUGUAGAGCAAAGUUACGCGCCAUAAAGAAGUACUAACGUGGCUGAUUAUUGAUUGUAUAAUAGGGCGGACCAAGUAGCUCUUCUGGGGUCUGUUUGGUGGAAAAUUCCUCUGCUUCAAAUAGCUCCUUGUCCAACACUAACAUAUAUUUUCAUCUCAUGUUUGGUCGUCAAAUUUAUAAACAUACACAAAAGUUAGCAAAUUUAAAACCAAGCAACACCCCUCUCCUCUCUCAGUAUUGGGAGGGAGCGGAAGACGAUGGCUGGCGCAAUGGAGAGGAGGAUAGCCAUAUACCAUUAAAAUUGGAGAGACGCCUGUAGGUGCGGCGCAGGGUGGGAGGUAGCGAGGCAUGGGUGCCUUGGGAAAGGUGGUGGUGGCACUUUCGCGGGUAGAGGAGGAUGGUGCAGUACUCGGACAAGGGAGAUUUGGCAAAGUUUGAAGAGGGCAAUAGGCACUCGAUCAAGUCAUCCAUCAAGAUAUUAUAUUUUUCUCUAGCUAAAUAGCUAGUUGGAUACACUUAAGGCAUUAACUGAUGCUUGGCAAUGGUUUGUGAAGCAUCCUCACAUAAGUACAGACUAAAUGUGAUCCAAUUAUCAGUCCUAGAAGGUUGAUAACACAUUUAUUCAACAGAUAGUUCAGAAACCGUACAGCUCCCGAAGGAGCGGGCGGGCAAGCCACACCCAAAGUAAAACUAAAGCGAUAACAAUACAAAUCCAAGUUGCAGUCCAGUCGGACUCUGGGCUGCAAUCGGAACUAUGCGUCAGCGGAAGCAUCCUGCAAAAGAGCCAACACCGCAGGCAGCAUUGGGUGCAGACGCAACCACCUACUCGAAGUCCUCGGCGACGUAGUCCGAAUCCUCCUCUGAAGCAACAAAACAGGGGUGAGUACAAAAGUACUCAACAAGUCCAACCCCAUCCACGGAGGGGGAUACAGCAAGAAUAUGCAUAGCAUACAACAAGGAUAAGGUUAUGGUUCAUUUGCAAUAAAGCUAGAUUUUCAACUCAUGCAAGGGUUCAUUUUUCAAGAGUUUUCACAAAGUAUUUUAUUCAGCAAUCGAAACAUUAAGUGGGGUUGAUCCUACAAAAAGGAUCCAAGUUUUAUCGCUACCGGACUCCCCAUUCGCCGUAGCGCACGGCACAACUGCCGGACACUUCCAAAAUCCAACACACACCGAAGAAACCAACCAUCCCCAAAAGCUAGUUAUGUGACCAAGCUGUAACUCGUCCAAUGCCGUGGACAUGGCUACCCGGAUAGGUUUUAACUCUGCAGAGGUUGUAUACUUUUCCCACAAGUAGGGUACCGCGACACGAUCACCUUAGUGACGGUGCGGAUCCUAACAAAGCCAUAACCCACCUUAGCCAAAACUGACUAGUCAACACGGAAGCACCCAAGGGGUUAUCAACCCAUCCACGAGGUCGAAAUCGGGACCUAAGUCACCAAGAGCUUAAUCCUUUUCCAUGGGCUCUCGUUGCUCACCAACACACCUGAAGCCUAGCAGCUUAGCUAGUGGGGUUUAUGCUAAGCCGUUGCCCAUACAACGAUCAAGUGGUUGCACAAUGGUUGAAUUAGGUAAGAUGACACAUCAACUCGGUCCUUAACCAUGACAAGAUGGAUAUCUCCCAACCUUACUCAACCACUAAGGUACGAGCUCAUCAAUCCGGCAUUUCACACAAGAAACGCCCAUCCAUCUCAUCCAUGCACCACUUCUCUUUACACUCGAAAACCCAUCUCCUCAGUGGAACACACUCACACAUUUAUUUUCUAAAUAAACAGGUGUAGUCAUGAUUGAUUUGAGAGUAACGAGUUCCUAAGCUUUCUAGCAGUAUUUAUCGUCUAAACAGAGCAACUCAUAUUUAGAGAUAAAUAUGGGACGACAAGGAAUAAUCACAACAAUCAAGGGGUGGCUAUCCAACCAUGUCUUGCGAUAAAACUAUAUGCAUUUUAUAAAACAGGCCUAUAGGUUGUGUUUGAAAAACUAGGUAGUAAAUAUGCAUCAAAGGAUAAGGUUGGACUUGCCGUUCUCAAAGCCCUCCAGGAGCUCCUGCUCGCGGUACUGAUCCUCGGGCUCGGGCUCGCGGUCGAACUCCUCCUCGGAUACUCCGCGAUCUACAGCACACACAAACGAGCACACAAUAAAUAAAAAGGAAAUAAGAUUUUACCCGUUGAGCUCUGAACAGGAAAUGUGAACGGAAAAUAGGUAGGAGGGGUAUUUUCAUGAAAUUUGGAUAUGCCUCGGCGGAAAUAUAUGAGAGGAGGCUGUGGUAAAAUUUGGGAUCGAUUGGAGGAGGUUUGGCGCAUGAAAUGAUGGGUUAAAGGGGUGUUAGGGGCUUUAAAACAAGGUUUAGGACUAAACCACGAGAACCAGGGACCUAUUUGUAAUUAUUUCUGAAAUGGUGGAAGGGCUUGUUUGCGAAUAAGGGAAACUAGAGGGUUAGAUCGUGAGGGGAGGGAUUUUAUCCCUUUCUUCUUCCUUGGGCCACAACAAGACAUGGGGAGGGGGAUGGCCGGCGGCGGGCCGGCCGGCCUAGCUCGCCGGCGGCGAGGCCAAGUGGUGGGGGAGGGAGAGGAGAGUGUGGGGGGGCCAUUUUGGCCCUCACCUUGGCCGGCUAAUGGUGGGGAAGGGGGCGCCGGCAUUGGUCCAGGAGGUGGCGGUGGCGGGUUACCGGCAGUGGCGUGUGGUGACGGGGAAGAGAGAGCGAGCAGGGAGGCGGUGCCGGGGGUGUGGGGAGGCGGCAGGGGCUCGCCCCCCCCCCCCCUUAUAGGCGGCGCAAGGGCGGGCGGAGACCGGGGUAAUGAUGGUGGCCGGACCUUUGGCCGGUGGCGUGCCGGGAUGAAGAAGCUCGUGGACGGCGUGGCGGCGCGGUCGACGAGGGCACAGGGGCGGCGACCGGCGACGCGACGCGCUCGGCCAAGCGCUAGGCGCCAAGGCGCGAGCGCGGGGGGCGCGGCGCGGCGCGGCAGGGCGGGUGGCCCGGCGCGGGCGCGCGUGCAGGGCAGGAGCCAAGCGCCUGGCGCUAGAGGGAAAAGAAGGAGGCAGGGAAAAGAAAGGAGAGAGAGAGGAAGGAGGAAGAAAGAGAAGGAAGAAGGAAAAGAAAAGGAAAAAGAAGGAAGAAAGGGAGGGGAAAAGGAGGGAGAAGGGAAAAGAGGGAGACGGCGGAAAUUGCGGGAUUUGACGGCACGCAUGAUGGACUUGACGGGCACGCGGCGAAAAAUACGGGGAACGGAAAAUGAGGGUUGACGACGUCGGGGCCGGAACGGCGAAUCCGACGGGAAGGAAAAGAUUUGUCGGGGCUCAUCGGUCGGAAAAUUUUGGAAUGCAUUUUUAACGGGUGAUUUAAAUUCGUAAUUUUUAUAGGCGUUACAGUUCGGUAUAUGUGGAUAGUUUCCAGACGUUGAAAAGAGAUCAAAGAGAUGGAGGGGGAGGGGACAAUGGCCCCUUUUGCUACGUCACUAUCUGUAGGUACCAUCUCAUACGAAGGACUAUCAAGUAAGGUAUUAUAUCACCAUAAUCGUACCGGUUUAUUUAGAUAAUUGAGAUGGAUAUUUCUUUAUAUCAAGAUUCUAUUUGUCCAACAAUUAUUUUAUUGUACAUUUCUUUUUAAUAAGUCGUGUGAGGAUAGCCCUAGAACGGAAAUGUUCUAGAUCCACUAAUAUUAGUACAUUGAAAAUAGCUGUCACGUGCACGCUGACGAGGCUCCUUGAAACUGCAAGGCCCCGAGAUUUCCUUCAGACAAGCAAAGCUCCCAUUUUCGUACAAGUGCAACUACACAGGAGAUAAGCUCUGGGGAAGUUCAUCUCCUUUAACUUGGCCUGCAGCACACACAUCACAAGUGCGGCAUGCCGCAUGGUGUCCUAAACAGCAAGGUCAGCUCGCUAGCUUUUAUUUUUUCAAUAAAGAGCCGAAGACGGUGGCCGGUGUGAUGGAGAGGAGGAUGGUCACACACCGCGAAGUUGGAGGGACACCUAUAGGUGUGGUGCUGGGUGGGAAGUGGCCAAGUUUGUAUGCCUUGGGAAAGGCGGUGGCGACGCUUGCAUAGGAAGAGAAGGAUGGUGUAGCACUCUGACAAGGGAGACUUAGCAAAGUCGAAGUGAGCAAAUAGGCUCUCAAUUGAGUCAUCCAUCGAGAUAUUAUAUUUUUUCUCUAGCUAAAUAGGCUAGUUGGACACAUUUAAGACAUUAAUUAAUGCUUGGCAAUGUUUCGAAUCCUCCAGAUAUAGAGCUACCUCCGUGAUCAAAUGGUAAAAGUUAAACGUAUUGUGGAUAGUGUGUAGAUGUUCUAAAGAGAUCAAAGAGAUGGAGGGGGGGGGGGGCAAUAGCCCCUUUGCUCCGUCACUAUCUGCAGGUACCAUCCUCACAUAAGAGGUUGUCAAAUAAGGAUAUCACCGUAUCCGUAUUAUUCUAUUUAGGUAAUUGCGAUGGAUAUUUGUUUAUAUCAAGAAUUCUAUUUGCUCAGUAAUUAUUUUAUCGUACAUUUCUUAGAAUAAUUAAGUUGUGCGAGGAUAGUCCGUGAGCGUAAAUGUAUGUUUUAGAUCCAAUAUUAAUGUUUUAGAUGCAAUAUUAGUACGUUAAAAAUAGCUGCCACAAUUGUAAUAUAUGUAUUAUUCUUUUAUUUCCAUCUCAACUCAAAACCCACAAUAAUACACACACUCGUGGGCAUUGUUUCCCAAUAUGGUGACGACGAUGCUAGGGAGACUGCAGAUUUCUGAAACUCGGUGGGUGUUUCCGUGUUUGGUGAGAUCGUAUGGCUGCCCCUCCGACAGGGACUCCCCUGUUUGGCCCAUUCGGAGCCGUCAGCCUCGCCACAGCCAGCAACCAGGGGACCAGCCGCUUCAUUUCUUUCUCUCUGUUCACUGAACAGAGAUUGGGAAGAGAUGUGUGGUUGCAAUUUGCUGUCGUGGCGGUUGAGGCGGCAAUUAACAGCUGAUGGAGACGAUGCUGGCUGAGGUGUCAGUGGUCGCUGGCACAAUUAUCCGUCAGCAAAAAGUGCAGGGACGAGGCAGGAUGUGCUUGGUUUUUCGACCACGUCCCACUUGAUGAUCCCACCAGCUGGCAGCUCUCUCUGUGUGUGUGACCAUGCCAACAGUAAAAGCGCAAAGGAACAGAGGAUGAUGUUCAUCAUAUCUAUCCAUUUGUGCAGUAAAUAUGGGCAUAUGCUGUGAUUUUUUUAAUUAUGAUGCAUCUCCUACUCUCCUGAGUGCUGAGUUAGAAGAAUGCAUAGAUUUGCUAGUUCUAAGGUGUCUUGUAUCUCACUAGUGAGUAAGUCAUUUUUUCGCAUGACACUUGUACAUGCUUUUCUCUCGACCUGUGCUAUGAUUUGCAGUAUAAUACGUUGUCUUGGAGUUUAGUUACAUCUAAGUCAUUUCGCCCUUGCAUGGCUGAAAAAGACGCACUUAAUUAAAAAAAUAUUUUAGCUUCAUAAAAAAAUGCAUACUCUAAGCUUAUGGAUAACGUCUUGAUUAAAUCCAAUGGUUAAAAAGUUGAAAAGAAUACAUUGUUAUGGUCUUAUGGACAACGUCUUGAUUAAAUCCUCUGUAACUUACACAUAAGCAAUAUUCAGCUAACCAUUCAGCUCAUAAAGUUCUUGUGAUGGAACCUGCCCACUCGGGUGGAGUGCACGUGCGUGCAUGCGUGUGUUGGUAUGAACGUAUACUUAUGUAUUAUGUUUUGCAAAAGAAAAGUAAUAACCUAACACUAUAUAUACCAGCAACACUUGGAAAUUUGUUAAGUUGUGGCGGACAAAAAUUUACUUAUCACAAGUUACGCAUUCUGCCACCAACCUAAAAGUUAAAAAAAAAACGCACACACCUAGGGUUUGUGCGAUUCUGGAGGGCUGGCGGCAUAUAAGAAGAACCCAAAAUACCGGCCGGGCCAGCGAUGAAAGCAACUCGAGCGGUGGAUGGAUCUGCCACUCCCUCCGCCAGAAACUCUUGUUUGAGACCUCGGCUUAACUAAGCUGAUUGGAAGUUUAAGAAAGAGACCAUCGAAAGCGAUAGGACGUAAUCCCUCCGUUCCAAAUUAUAAGUCAUUCCAAUAUUUUUGGAGGGUCAAAGCAUCUCAAGUUUAACUAAAUUUAUAUAAUAAAGUACUCCCAUUCAUGAUAUUAAAUAAGCAUCAUUAGUUUAUUCAUUAAUAUAUUUUCAUAAUACAUCUAAAUUUUUGUGAUCCUCUCUAUAAUUUUGACCAAGAAAGUUGGGAACGAAGGAAGUAAUUCUAGGUUUGUCAACUACGGCGCCAAGAAUCCGGGAAAAAUAUAUUCACAACAAGAAGAAUCUGUGGGGAAAAGAAAUAAACGAACCAACAACUCGGGCAAGCAAGAGAAUUUGACGGAUACAAGUGGAAGGUAGCAACCAAGUGAUAGCUACGUCGUUGUCAGCGCAUUGCAAGACAUGAAAUGGAAAUCUAGCUUGAUUCUGGACUUAUUCGAUUUUGAUGACAAAGAAAGUAGUGCUCCUAUCGCGUAUGGGCGGGCACUAAUGAUGGAAAAGCAACCAUGUGGGUAAUUAUUGUUUAUAUAGUACAGUGACGUCCAGGUAUAGCAACAAAAUUUUCCUCUCCAGAUUAAUCAAGGAGAUGGAAAUCACGUAGGAUAUUGGAAGCUUGGAAUUGAAUUGGCAAGACGUGCCAUAUCUUUGCUGGGCCAAAUGUCCCUGUAAACGAAGAAAUAGCUAGUAAGCUCAAAAGUCCAAGUAGUGUUUGAUUUUUGUUAUUGAUGGAUGGAUGAUGCGAGGUAAUGGCAGAUUAAUUUGGAAGGAAAUUUUGACAGUGUCAUCUCACGUGAUAAGGGAUUAUUUCCGUGAGUACUUCAGCAAUUUUAAAUUUUAAAUUAUAAGUCGUUUUAAUUUUUUAGAAUUUGUAAAUAUUAUUAUUUUUAUGUAUCUAUGUAACGAAAUCUGAAACCAUCUGCAUGCAAUUUGAAACAACGGAGGGAAUGCUUAGUACUCAAGAAAUGCCAUCUCGUAUCUUGAAGCCAUCAAGUGAAAUCGCCCGCGUAGGUACACUGAACCACGCAAUUAGCAGGUUGAUCGUCCUGCAGGAAAACAGAGCUGAUGUGUGUGUGUGUGUGUGUGUGUGUGUGUGUGCUGUGUGCCAUGACUCGAAACCUCGUGACCGCACAUGCAUGAAAGGGACCAAGCAUGCAUGGCCAAAGGAGAACAGGCGGUCAGCUCUCAUCAGCUAGUAGAUUCAACCGCACGAUAACGUACGUGCCCUGCUUUCCGUCCACGUACGAUGUACCCUGCACGAGCACGACGCGGCCGGAAAGAGAUCCCCUUGACCACAGAGAUCACAGACCUGCCAUCGGAGCCGUCCACUUGCCCUCCUCGUCCUGUUUCUCGAGAUCCUCGACACCUCCAGCCGCGGGCCCCGCGCAGGUCACGUGCUGUCGCCGCAUGCACGUGCGGCCCGCCGGCGGUGGCUCCCUCGCCGCAUGUCGCCGCGCCGGUGAUCAUCGCAGGGUCCGACACGCGUCGAUCGAUCGUCUCCCAGAAGAUGCAAAAAGGCGCACUCGGUAGAAACGACGGGAUCAUCGUUUUUUAUCGAUCGAUCGAUCGAAGGCGACGCGCACAGCAGCACAAGGUAGCACUGUAGCAGGCCAGCCAACCUGUCGAAAGGAGAACGGAGCCUCCGGCUGCUGUCUGGCUGGCCAAAGUACGUAUCUGUUUCGGUGUUUCCCAACCCAUGCAUCUUGAGGUAUUCGGUGCCAAGACAAAUGUCCAUCGCCAUCCGGUAGUCAUUCGAUCGGGUAUACUUCUUCCGUCCGUAAAGAAAACACAAGUCACUUAAAGUUUGACAUGUCUUCAAGAGUCUUUUUUUUGCUAAUGUUCUCCUCCUAUAUGUUGUAAAAACCACCCCAGCGAGCACAUGCUCAAGGGAUUUAACACGUUUUCAUAAGUUAACAGCCACCAGUACGAUCUUUACCGAAAUUACAUACUUCUAGUAAAAUCUUGAUCCUUUUUGAGAUUACACAAAAAGAAUUACUCACGAGAGGCUAAAUGUUGUGGUUUCGAUAUUUACACAAAAACUUCAAUGCAACAUAAUGAAUAACCAUAAUGCAAGCGGUUAACGAACUCAACUCAGCUAACUCGACAUGAAGUGGCUCUAUAUCAGCGAAACCGAUUGAAUCGGUUACAGGAGAUGCUUGGCAGCAGAAAAAAAAAACUAGCUCCACUCCACCAACUUCGUGAAAACAUAAAGUUGUUAAAGUUGUUGUACGUAUUUGGUAGUCUAUUUUACUUUGAAUGGGCCCACGUAUCGGUCUCUUCUUUUCUCCCCUCCUCUUCCUCUCUCUUCUCUUCUCAAUUUUGGACGGUGCAACAUGUAUUACAAGAAAUCAUCAUGAGAAUUGUAGAACAAUCCUGCUCAUCAAUCCUCAAUCCAAAUCACAACUCAGACCUCAACAAAGCUGGAGGCAAAAAAAAAUUCGUCAAUUCCUUCUAGUUCCACCAAUCCCCCGCGAUGGCGAUGGCGCUCUGGCCGCGAGCGGGGAGCUCCUGCUGCUUCAGUGUCUACUCCAGUCCUUUCUCGCCGUCGCGGCCAUCGCCGCCAAGCCAGCCGCCGGCGCGCGUCUGCGUCUCGCCCUGCCGUCGUCCCGCCGCGCGCGCAUCUUGGCCUGACUCGCAACGGAGGCGCCGCCGCCGCCGCCCCCAACCGCGGGGGCGGGGGUGGCGUGGCAGGAGCUCUCGACGGCGAGCCUGGCGGUCAUGGAGGACGCAGGCGCCACCCCUGGCUCGUCCUCCUCGUCGGCGUCAGCACGGUCGUGACGGGUGGCGGAGGUGCGGCCAGCGCGGCCCCGCGGGGUGUCGGAGGUGCGGGUCUGCACGCGGCGGCGGAGGCCUAGCCACACGCCUGACGAUGGACAAUGCGGCGGACCGCGUGGUGGCAGCGCGGGCCUGCGCGAGGCGUAUUGCGCGGCGGCGGCCCGGCCACACGCACAACGGCGGACCCCACGGCGGGAGACGCCCUAGCAGCCACGGCCACACCCGCCGCCCCGGCCACCACGGCCAUGGCCGCCCCUUGGGCCGCCCAAGGUGCCACGGCCAAAUUCGAUCCGGAUGGAGGAGCUGAUGAAGGAAUUGCAGGAUUGGGUGGACGAGGGUCGCCGCGCUGUCCAUUUUCGCCGAAGAUUGGGGCGGCGGCGGUGGGUUUCGCGUGAGAUGGGGAAGCGGCGACGGGAUGAGGGGAGGGGGCAACGGGAGGAGAAGGGUGUUUUUUCUUUUCGCGAAGCGGGACGUUGUGUAACUGGCGGUGGACAACUCUACGGUAGAUCUGAAACUAAGGUAGUGUUUGGUUGGCUCAAAUGUAACGUAAUCUGAUUACUGAAGGUAACAAAUCCCAUUACAUAUGUUUGGUUGCGGUAGUUUGUAAUCAAUUGACACUGUAAUCGAAUCCCUUACCUAAAUAAUAUCUAUACAAGCUUGUUACCCCUCCUCCCCCACCGUAAUCAGAUAUAGCACCCACACAGUAAUCUGAUUACGUUACCAGAGUGCAACCAAACAAAGAGAGCAAUCACCCAUUCCACCUCCAAAUACACUGUAAUCUGAUUCCCUUUACGUUUACAUUACCUUAGCACGAACCAAACACUAUCUAAGUGUUUUUGGGUACUUCAAGAAAAAUAUGUAUAUGUAUAUGAUUCUUGCUUCAUAUUUUUUCUGGAGCUGGACGUGUUUUGCAAGAAGUUUUAUGUAGUUGGUGGAACUGUUUUUAGUGGAGUGCGGCCACAUACCCUGCUCACUUAGUGUGGUUUUUUAGUAGAGCUGAGUAGAGAUAUGGUGAUUUACAACAUAAUUCAUAAUGAUUUAUGAUGGGAAUGUCAAACUCCGAAUGAUUUACGGGAUCGUUUCUAUAAGUUUCCAUCGUUCGGAACAGCUUGACCGGUUGCACUUUUCUAUCGGAGAGGUUGAUCGAAGGGGCAAUUUGACAGGUGACACCAACAAUCGCUGAGGUUAUGUGGCAAAACUAUCCACUCCACCUCAGCAAACAAAAAAAAGGGUGCACAAACAAUCGGCUAUUGUGUUUCCACUGCAAACCCUUUCAGAAGAAAAGAAAACAUCUCAUCAGUGAUUGUGCCAAAACAUCUAUCAUGCAUAUGCAUUCUACCUACUUCUGCACUUGCUGAAGGUUAAAGGAACACAAAGAAAUAGCUCACGUUUGCAUUUGUGCAAAAAUGCCAUAAUAAUUAAUAAGGGGUUUUACAUGCAAGUUGCCGUGGUGGACAGUAUAGAUCAUGACCCCUCAAUCAAUUUGGUUUGGCCCCUCCAUUACAAGAAGUUAUAUCUUUCCCUUCAGUUUUUAGCAAGUGGCCUACAGUGUUAGUACCAUUAGUAUAUUUUUCUAAAUGGCUCACAAUGUUUGUAGUGUAAUUUUUUAUCUUUAGCUACAGUUUUUGCAAUUGCCAACAAGAUAAUCCCACACAAACUCAUUACCCACAGUUUUUGUAACUAGUGACCUAAAAACAUUAUAACUGUUGGCCACUUAUAUAAGGAAACUGUCAGGAACAAUGCUAAGUUUUGUAGUGCUCAUGCGAUUUGGCAUUCUUAAAAGUAGUUCUCAACAGAUGAUAAGAUUUUAGCCUAGGUUUUACUUAGCAUAGCCUACAUCAAGUUAAAAUAAAGGGCCACACCCCUGCAUCUCCCUCUAUCUAAACGCAAUGAGACCGGGCCCCCUCUUAACAAUCGGCCCAAGCUCUAGCAUCGCAAGGGAUCCGAUCUCAUUUGGUGCUGCAUUUGUGCAACGUUGUACUAAAAUACAAAAAUUUAGUAUGUAACACAAAUUGUUAAUUUAUAUGUGUAUCUGUAUUACCAAAAAACAAAGAAUGAAAACAAAUGAAUCGUCUAGGAUAAUGGGGUUGUUCGCUUCAACUUAUAAGCCGGCUGAAAAGCUGAAAUGGCUGAUUUGUUGUGAGAGAAAAAUACUGUUUGAUGGCUGAUAAGCCGACUGAAUAAGCUGAAGCGAACAGGCUAAAUAUUCUGAAUGUGGAGGGCAGGAUGCACGUAUAUAAGAAAAAGGAGUAUCUCUGCACUCCCUCCGUCGGACACUGCUGUUUGAGACCUCAAACUGUCUGAGACCCUCCACCUAAGGGUCUAUUUGGUUUGAGUUGCUUAUGCAUAAGCAACUUAAAAUAAGCAACUUAUUUGCUUAUGAAACCAAUCACCCUUACUUAUUAGGUUGCUUAUGGGGACUAAAAGGUGCACUUUACACCUCCUACCCUCAUUCAAUGCACUCUACUCCUCUCUCUCUUUCUCCAAACAGCUAGGGGUAAAUAUGACAAUGUCCAACUCAUUCAAUGCUCAUAAGCAAGGGUAUCCAAACAACUAGACUAAAAAUAAGCAACUCCAAAUAAGCAACUUUAACCUAAACCAAACAUGCACUAAGUCCACGUAGGAUGUCCGUAUCCGCAGAGAUUCCCUUGACCAGGGACCACCCUGUUCCAUCUCAGCCGUCCACGUGCUCCUAUUUCAUUCCCAACGGCGCGAUCCUCGCCCAUUCACGGAAUACUUCACUUCACUCCCCUCCCCCGCGAGCAUGGGCCCCAGCGGAUCACCCUGCGUGCUGCGGCCCUGUCGCCGCGACCGCCGCACGUGGGGAGGCGCUCGCCGCAAUCAUUGCCCGCGCGCCGUCCAGCCGGGGCUGCUGGGCCGCGUGUUGAUCGAUUCCCUUGGUCCCUCCCCUCCCGCCCCGUAGCUUUCGAUUAGCGAUCUUGUUUGAUCCACUCUUCAACAUCUUCCCUUUCUUUUUGGUUUGUUUGAGGAAAGAUCGAUCUCUUAACCUAUGCACUGAUGGAAAAAUCCUUGACGAUUCUUUUCAUGAUGUUGACGACUGGCCAUGUCGUCUAAUCUCAACUUGUCUUUUUUUUUUUUCACACCAUUGGUGUUGUCAGGAUGCUACCUGGAACUAUAUAGCAACCAUCUCGGAGUACCACCUGUGACUCAAAACAAAUCCCAAAUCUCCCCUUCCCUCGCCUACUAAUUUUGCUCCUUCUGUUUUAGUUUUAAACAUUGGCAUUUAGGUAGGAUAAUCUAACUUGUUGGUUUUUAAGUUAUAAUUAGUUUGUCCUAAUUGAAUGUUAAGUUGCCAUAUAGCAGUUGCAUCUCAAACGACCUUCGUGUUUAUAAUUUGAGUCUAAAUAGUGAUGCACGAGAAGAUGGCCUAUCACACCAGCUCCCGCGACAGUUGUUGGAACAAUAAAGGCACAUACGAACGAACAUAUGUGAUGAAUAGAGGUUAUAGGAGUGGAAAUUCGAUGAAUUGGAGGAAUUAGCAUUGGUGCCUAAGGGAUGUCUUGAAGCUCAUAAAAUGAUGAGUUCGUUUACAUAUUUUAGAAAAAUGUGUUCCUGUAUCUAACAAGCUAGAUUUAUUUCAUGAGAUAAAUCCUUAUGCUUGCCAUAAAUUAUAAUUAGAGGCGCAACAAGCUAGCUGAGUACGUAGAUAAACUUUUAUUCAGACAUAGACUUCUUAUUAGUUCUGAUUCUGCAUGCAUUUACUUCAGCCCUAAGCCCUAUGGUUUGUUUACAUAAGAGUACAUGGCUUUGGAGAAAAGAAACAUCUUCUGGAGAUAAAGGAAAGUUAUCACGGAUUAUCCAUACGUCUAAGAUACUCUAACACUGUAUCUAACGGUGUGUCCGUAUGUACAUGAAACAUCGCGGUGAUGAAAUAGAUUUGUUCUUGUUCUUGCUAAAAGUGACUACGAGCCACUCAUCAUCCCAUAUGCGUAUUCAUCUCUGGAUCGGCAAAAAAAACGACCUGACACACCGUUGCAUUGCAUAGCAACCUUCGUAAACCACCAGUUGCGACCCUUGGAGGUUGUAAAGGGCAAUAUUAGCAGCAGGAAGCGGUGUCAGAAAAUGCCAUGAAUUAAUGUACCAUUGUACUACGGUAGCUAUCCUCGCGUCUUUGGCCCUUGGAGCUCCGAAGAGCAAAAUAGGAUGAUGCUGCCUGCAAGAGAAAGAAGCAGCGACUCAUUUUCAAAAAAAGAAGAACCAAGCGUGUAGUUUGAGACUUGCGAGUGCCUCCGGAUCGGAAGCAGAUGGACAACACUGCAGUCCGAGCGUUUAAUUUGGAAAAAAUAUACACGACCACAGUUCUAUGUGAUCUUCCUGACCUAACAAUUUUAAAGAUCAGGUUUAAUAGGGAGGGGCUAAAAUACUAUUUGCUAUAGUACUAAUUACUUAUUAUGUUAAAUUGUAAAUGAGGAGGCUUAAGGGCCAUAAUACAUUACCACCUCCAAUCUACUGCAUCAUACAGAUUCUUGAUCCGCCGGCAAAGCUUACAUAACGAGCAACGAGCUGACCUCUUGGCACAGGCUCCGCCGCACCUACACGCAUCAAAUUCAUGCCAACAUUUCCCCCGCCGUCUGCCGAUUGAUGGAAUUUCUACGAUGCGGGUGAGUGGACUAAGGUCCUAUUUGGAUACACUUCUUCUAAUCACGUUUGGAUUAUAAUCUAGGUGAAAAUUUUCUCACUUCUCGCUUUUUGUUUCUCAUAGUUUAAAUCUUUGAAGCGGCUUACUACAUAAGCGAUAAUCGGUAGAAAUAAGCAAAACGGUUGGCGGGAUUCUCACUUAUUUCCACUGAUAAACUUAAGCGGAAACAAACAGGAAUCUGCUGGGGCUGAGCGGGCCCGGUGGGGCCACUCGGAAUGAAUAAAGCGCCAGUACGUCCAAGUGUCUAGUGUCCAACCAAACUAGACCCACACACGGUGUGCGUGAGGAGGCUGUAAAAGAGCAAAAGCGAAAGCGAAAGUAGGGGUAGGCGGGGCCCGUGGACGAAUGGACGGCCCACAAGAGCACUUAGGCCGCGAGGUCCGGCCCAGUAUGAGCAAGAGCAGAAUGACAGGUCACCUACCAACCCAUAUGAGCACUCAGCCGCGCAGUCCGGCCCAGUGGUCGCUGGCUGGCCAUCCAGGCCCCCAUUCAAACCAAGGCCUUUUAGUUUACAUUCUGAAACCUAUGGGGUUUUUCUUUUCUUUUGAAAGAGAAAACCAACGGCUAGAGUCAGCGGUGGCCAAUGCUCUACCACGGUGCCACGUAGUUGGUGCCACGUUUUCGAAUCCUGCAUUCCGAUUCCAGCCUGAACUAAGCGGUAGGCUGAACACAUUUACUGAAUCGAUAUACCACUUAUUUGGUGUCUCUCUGGUUUAGUUUGGUCAUUAGAUUGUAUUUGGUUGGGACUCUUUAGUUUAACUUGUUCCCUCUUUAAUGUAGAGGAGGAGAAUGAAGCAGAUAGGUGGUGGGAAAAGAUAGGGCGCCUGCAUGUCUAAGAGUUCAUGUGAUCGUUUACCGUAGAACUAGUCAGCAACCUGCGACGAAACUGAAGUUUGGAGUGUCUCAUUUUACUUUUGUUUUGCAGUUUGCUUGCUUGGGUUUCAGCCUGGGCUGAGUACCCUACUAUGUUGGUUUGGGAUAGAGGCUCGACGCCUGUGUAUGAUUUAACGGUGUUCUGGUUAGCAUAGUCAAGGGAACAUGGGCAUCACUCUGGUGUUCUUGUCAUGUUUCGGCAUAUUAGUUGUCUUGCUAGUGCAUGACUUAUCAUGGUUUUCAAGUUUGUACACUGUCUUGUCGCCCCUUAGCUGCAAACCAAAACCAAACACACCCCUGCAUCCAACCGAAGUAAGUCUGCAAUCAGUGAUUCUACCAUCAUCACCUGAUUCCAUUUCCCUUCACGUUACCUGAGCGUGAAUCAAACACUCUUAACAGUCAGCAACUAAAAUAUUUUAGUAUAAAGUGAAUCCCAAGAGAGCCAACUGGUUACGACAAUUGACAAGUGAUAACUAAACACGAACAGCUGACAAAAGCACACAGCCUACAGCUCCAGCUGCCAGUAGGGAAAGAAAAGUACCUUGGCAUUUUCUGCCAACGGAAACAAGCAAACUGAUAAAACGCUCUGCAUUUUUUCUUUUAUACAAGGACGCUCUGCAUUGUUAUUGCCCACAUGGAGAAAUUAUGAACAUCGACAAUCUACCCGUUCACCAAUGUUUCCCCCAUAUAGUAAUCCUCCGUGAUGCCAUAGAUCACGAACCCAAAGGUUAACAAGCAUCCUCCUUGUAAGUUCAAUGUACUGAUCACACUAUAAGAACUGCAAGUGGUAGAAACAUUCUGCACAAUUGACAUAUAAUACAUGCUGUAUCGAUACAAUAAACAGUGUGUACAUCUUUCAACAACAUGGUUGCCAAAAUUUCGCCGGUGGGGACAAUGGGGGCGGCUAUCAACAACUGCUAUGUUACACAACCCGAGACCAGAUGCAGGAAGUCAGGAACCCAGCUGCAUCUCUCAGUUCUCUCUUAAAUUACAUCCCUCUUAGUGGUAAAUAAAUUCUAUCGCCAUCUAUACAAGACCAUC
RNAcentral lists this long non-coding RNA (52658 nucleotides) under Setaria viridis. RNAcentral describes it as "long non-coding RNA (SVIR_LNC004153)". The record is from RNAcentral. Lineage: Eukaryota; Viridiplantae; Streptophyta; Magnoliopsida; Poales; Poaceae.